This 56322-nucleotide long non-coding RNA is filed under the name Medicago truncatula (barrel medic). RNAcentral describes it as "long non-coding RNA (MTRU_LNC008203)". Lineage: Eukaryota; Viridiplantae; Streptophyta; Magnoliopsida; Fabales; Fabaceae. The record is from RNAcentral.
AAGAGAAAGUAAAUCUAGACACAAUUGUUGAUGGUGUAAGAUCAUAGUAAUGUUUUCUCGUUCUUACCGGCGCCUAGCAGUUUUUAUUCUCACAGUCUAUCACGCAUGCUUCAUAGUCGUGUAUUAUGUGUGGAAGACAUGACAUGGUACACUUUAUUUCACAAGAUGUUCUUGGCCAUCCUUUGAGUUUAGUUGGCUCAAAUUCUUGAGAUGGAGAGUUGCAUUCAACAUGUGUUACAAUUAACAUAAUCAUUAACAUCAUUACAGCACAUUUUCUUAUCAUGCUUACUUCCAUGACUCUUUUUGAUGAAGUAAAUUUUAACAAUCUCUAUUAUAAUUUUAUUUUUUUGUGAUGUUUUAGGUUGUGUAAAAAUACCUUAUUUAUAGCCACAAAAAGUGAAGGUAUAAGACUUUUCAAGCGUAAAGCAAAACACAUGAUAAUAAUUUUCAAAUAUAAAAAAGUCAAAUCAAUCUCUUUUAGAAUUCUCUUUUUAGUAAUUUUUAGGUUUCUAAAAAGAUCUUAUUCAUAGUCAUAAAGGUGUAUGUAUAAAAGUUUUCAAACGUAAAGUAAAAUACAUGAUAAUAAUUUUCAAAUUUAAAAAGUGAAAUCAAUCUCUAUUAGAAUUUUCAUUUUAAAGAUUUUUAGGUUUCUCAAAAGACUUGCUAAACAAAAGGUUACUCAGGAGACCAUGUUUAUGGCCAUAAAAUGUAUGUAUAAAAGUUUUCAAACGUAAAGAAAAUACAUGAUAAUAAUUUUCAAAUAUAUGAAUUCAAAUUAAUUUUUUUGAAGAAACUAUAACCCACUCAAAUUGACACCGGAAAGAAUCGAAUAUGAGACCUUAAGGAGAAACAUGCUCAUAAAAGAAUAAAAUUUCCAUAUUUUAGUUAAACAUUAAUCGGUAUACACCCCAUCUCGAUUUGGAAGUUUAAACAUAUCUUUUCUCGAAGCGGAAUGAACUCUUGAAAUUAACUUAGAUUCAUUUAAAAUUCUUUAGAAGAAUUAUUAAAGGUUAGGGAUGGCAAUUGGACCCAAACUCUAUGGGCACCCGCAAAAAAUACCCGCUAUGGGUAGGGUAAAACCCCGCUUUCAUGGGUCCGGGCUUGGGUAUGGGUAAUUACCCGUAAAUUUAUAUAUAUGGGUAUGGGCACUGUACUACCGAGCCCCGCCACCCGCAUAUAUGUAUUUAUAUAAUAUUAUAAAUAAUUUAUUUAUUUUUGGUGUACAAUUAAUUAAUAAAUUUAACUAUUUAAGCCUAACCUUAAACCUAAAACAGAUUAAUAAAAAUGUUAGUAACAAUUUAUUAUGAUUUUAGCAUGCAACUACAACUUUUUAACGUAUAACUGAUGUAAGGUAUCUAUUUUUUUUUUUCAGGAAUAAUUUGGAUGUUUUUUUAUUUGGUAAAAUAUUACGAUUCAUAUUAUUUCGUAAGUUGAUUUAAAAAAAUUUGGAUCAUAGUUUUAUUUCAAGUGUGGUGAUUUUUAUUAUCUUUCCAUGGCUAAAGUGCGGGUAUGGGCACUAAAGUUGUUGCCCACGAAAGUACGGGCACGGGUACGAGCAUUUACAAACGUGGGUAUGGAGAUGGAUACUAUAGUACCCUACCCAUUAGGUACCCAUCGCCAUCUCUAUUAAAGGUGAAUACAAUGACACCUUUUAAGUUUGAUUGGAUAUGUAAAAAUAACGACCAAUCUUGAUAUCCUAAAAAAAAAAAAAAACAUCAACAUGAAAUGAAAUAUAUUAUUUCAGUGCGUUUCUAAAAGAGGGAUAAAACAUAAAUCUUAAGUUAAAUAUAAAACGGCAGAAAACGGAAAUUUUAGGAUAAAAAAACAGAAUGCUUGUUGUUCCAAAAUGUCUAUUUAUUUUUUUUGAAUAUAAAACAUAUUUUAUUCUUCUAUACUUUCUAUGUCAUUAAAUUUCUAUUCUCAUUGUCUAGACCUUCAAACAUGAGAAAUUUGAGAAUCUAGACUAAUUUACUGAAAGUUUGAAGCAAUUUGCUUCAUUAGUAAGAUUGAAGAUAUAUCUUAGCAUUGCAUAUUCUGUUGAAUAUUCCUUUUAUAAUUAAGUGUAAAAUCUCUUAUAUAAUAGACCUUCCGUAGUGAUAUUAAGUAACACGGUUUUUAAUAAAUGUCUCUCACUCUCUGUUGCUUAAUUUCUCUCAUUCAAUAUGGUUUCAAUCUCCUCCAAUAUUUGUUAGGCCACCGGCCACAAUGUUUCCUUCGUACCGCUCACCAUUUAUAUCUACGAAUAAAAUCCAUUAGUAUAAUUGGUCUGAGGGUGUGUGUUAAAGACUCCUACAUUGAAUAAGAGAUGGUAUGGGCAUAUGUUUAUAGAUGGGGGCAAAUCUUAUCUCAAAAGCCAGUUUUUAUGAGAUUGUGUUAGGCUCAUCCACAAAUUCUAAGAAGAAUCGUAUCAUAUAUGUAAGUAGUGGUGCAAGCCCUAUAUAUGGCAUUAUAUGUUUUUCUAACUAGUUGGAUUAGAGUUCAAACUAUAUGGUAUUUUUCUAUUUUCUCAAAUUUCAUAUUCCUUAAGAAAACACUCAAUUCACUUGCUUAUUUUUCUAUUCAAUUCACUAUUUUCUAUCACUGAUAUCAAUAUCAUAACACUACCAUAAUAAAUGAAUACGCUUCUGACAAAUUAAUGGUAUUUAGUGAUCAUAACUGAGCAUAUCUUAAUUAAUGAAAGCAAGCAAUAGUUUCUAUGUUUUUAUUGGCUUGUUCAUCAUCAAAACAAUUUACCAUUUCAUGAAUCUUGAUCAUCCUUGGAGGCCAAAUCUAGAGAAACUUCAUACAACUUGUGGGGAACCAUCAUGGAUACAUCCUUAAUUAAUGAUCUAGAUCAUCACAUUCACCUUUCUAUUCCACUAGCAUUAGGGAGUGUGUCCCUAACAUUCCUCUAGUAAAUUAUACCUAAAAAAGAAUAUCUGGAUAAACCAAUCAAGCAAGGAAUGAAAAGUGGCAAGAUAAAACAACUCAUGAUUAAGUUAAGUCGCCUUUAACCAUAUGAUUCUGAUCAAAUUUAGAAGUCACGAGGACUUUACAAUUACAAGCAUACUGGCUCACGCUGGACAUCGAUUAUGUGGCAUAAAUUGGCGAUGAAUUUUCACCAAAUCUUGUACAGUUUCCAGGUCUUCCCCUACCAUUGAAGUUAACUCAUGAUCAGCAACAGUUGAACAAUUGUUGUCUUUUCUCUGCAGCUCUUGAGCAACAGCAAUCAGCGUAGGAAAUCUGGAAGGUUCCACUUUCGACAUCGCCUCCUUGGGAGCCAAAUACAUGAAAAAACGAGGGCAAAUAUGUGAUUUUAUACAACGCUUGCUCAUCAGAUGGUAACCAAAUGACAACAGGUCUUACAUCAAUUCUAUACAACGCUUGCUCGACGGAAUUUCUGAUCAUACAUCACAUAUAAUAGAACUAACAUCAGUGCAUAACUCUCCAAAGUGCAUAACUCGUAGACGGGGUCCAUUGACUCCAUUGCCGCAUCAUAUACCGAAUUAAAAGUCAUACUGCCCAUACCUCUUUUUACUGACAUCUGAUACAUAAAACCUUUGAACACUUUGGAAUUUUAUUUUAGGAAUCUUUACAAACGAUGUCAACCACUCUUCUUAUGUGGGAUAUAUUGCUUUGAAAGAUUUUUUUUUGAAAUAGACAUUCAAGUUUUUUAUGCAUUCCAAACAUAUUUUUUUUAAGUGAAUAGGAAAAUAACCCCUUAAAAUUUUAAAUUCUUGCAAAUAUUUCCCUCAGAUUUUGUUAAAGCUGAUGAGGUGGCAUAUGGGAGUUAAUGUGGCAAGGUCUAUUGGCAUUUGACGUCACAUGUUUUUCUUUUUUGCAAGAAGUAGAAAGACAUUAAAAUAAGUUAUUUCAUCUUAACUAUUAAAAAUUAGUUCUUAAUUACAUACAUGUUGACUUCCUCUCUAUUUCUUUAUUUUUGCUACAAAGGCAAACCCAACCUGACUAAAUUAAUGCACUCAAAUUUCAAUUUCUUCACGCGUGUUAUGUGCUUCAACACCCUAAUGGAUUUUAGAGGAUUUGUGAUCUAUAAUCUGUGUGCAAUGCAAAGGAUUAAACCGGGUUUUAUUUGGCUUCCCAAUAUUUAGUUGAGCAUGAAGGUGGUGGCGGUUGCUGCCAUGCCUGUAAACAAUGAUUUGGGGUGCUAAGAAAAUGAUUUUGAUUUAUAUCUUUUUUUUCAAAAGAUAGCUGGUUGCUAAAUCUAUGAAUCAAUCAUCAGAGAAAAAUAUAAAUAAAUAAAAAUUACUUGCAAAAAUAGAUAAUAAAAAAUAGAAAGUAGGCAUUAUGAAUAAAAACAUAUUUAUUUAAGAUUGACAUAACGUCAAUUCUAUGAGUAAAUUUUAUUAUAUAGAGUCUCACAUAACAUACACAUUAUUUUUUGUAGGGGAUACUCAUUAUUUAUUUAUUAUUGCUGCAAAUCUCCAAGCUUGAAUCAAUUUGUGUAUGAACUGCAUGGGCACCUACAAAGUACAAACAAAUAUAUGAUAUUAUUUAUAUUUGCUAAAAAAAUAAAAUAAAAAUAAAAAAAAGACGAAGAGAAAGUAAAUCUAGACACAAUUGUUGAUGGUAGGUAAGGAUCAUAGCAAUAUUUUGGUUUUUACCGGCGCCUAGCAUUUAUUCAUACAAUCUUUCACGCACUUCUCCCAUUUUUCUACUAGUCUUUGUCCAAUGCAUUUUAAGUCACACUUAAUUUCACACCAUGCUCUUCGGAUUCCUUUGAGCUUAGUUGGCUCAAAUUCUUCAGAUGGAAAGUUGCAUUCAACAUGUGAUACAAUUAACAUAAUCAUUAACAUCAUCACAACACAUUUUCUUAUCAUGCUUACUUCCAUGACUCUUUUUGAUGUGUAUAUUUUAACAAUCUCUAUUGUAAUUUUACUUUUUUUGUGAUAUUUUAGGAUGUGCAAAAAGACCUUAUUUAUAGACACAAAAAGUGAAGGUAUAAGAAUUUUCAAGCGUGAAGCAAAACACAUGAUAAUAAUUUUCAAAUAUAAAAAGUCAAAUCAAUCUCUAUUAGAAUUCUCUGUUUAGUUAGUUUUAGGUUUCUCAAAAGUGUUGUUGUGGGCAAGUGUAGUUGUUCUAGCCUCGAUAUGGACAGUCCCUCAGGCUCCCCUUGUGACCCAACAAAAAGACCAUAUAUAUAGCCAUAAAGGUGUAUGUAUAAGAGUUUUCAAAUGUAAAGCAAAAUAUAUGAUAACUAGUUUUAAAUAGGCUUUUACAUGUGUUCAGCAGUCUUAAGGAAUACAAGAUUAAAUUUUAAAUGAUCCCUAUAUUUACAGGGACUAAACACAUAUAAAAGUCUUUUAAAUAUAGGAAUUCAAAUUAUAUAUAUAUAUAUAUAUAUAUAAAUUAAUAUUAAUGAAAUCAAGGAAUAAAAUUUUCAUAUUUUAGAGUUUAACAUCAACCAGUAUAUUGAUAACCAUCCCUUUCAAUUUGAAAAGAAUUUUAAACAAAUCUUUUCUCGAAGCGGAAUGAAGUCUUGAAAUUAACUUAGAUUCAUUUAAAAUUCUUAAGAAGAAAAAUUAAAGGCGAAUACAAUGACACGCAUUAAGUUUGAUUGACUAUGUACUCAUCAUUGAAUUAUUCAAUGAUAUGUCAUAUUUUUAUAUUAAUUUGUUUAAGAAUAAAAUCAAAUUUUGAAUGAGUUUUGCUUUACUGGAUAUCGAUCUCCAACCAAGCUUUAAGGUACCUAAUAAUUUACCAACAUUAAAACUCAAAAUGACUUUGCAUAAUGUUUACAAAUAGAAAUUAAAACUUUGAUAUAUAGUAGAAAUCAUUAUAAAACUUCAUGGGGUGAGAUAAACAUCAAUUUGUGAUAUGUCUCUGAUUUGACGUGACGUAUUAAACGAAGUCUUGAUAUCUUAAAAAAUAAAAUAAAAUAAACAUCAACAUGGGGUGAGAUAUAUUUAUAAGUGAGUUUCCGAAAGAGGUAUAAAACAUUAGAUUAAAGUGCACUUUUCAACCCUUAAGUUUUAAAAUGUUGUGAUUUUGGUCCCUAUGAACAAAAAUGACCCUCCAAAUUUAGGGAAAUAUGCUCUUUUGACCCCUAAGGUAAGGGAAAUAUGAUAUUUUGAUUAUCUUCUCAAAAAGUUGCGAUUAAAUGAUCUCUUUUUUGGAACAUGUGGCGUCUUGUCAGUAAUUUUGAGACGAAAGGGGUAAAGAUUGUAAUUUUUUUAAUAGGAGGCCAAAAUCGCAACAUUUUAAAAUUUACGGGUCGAAAAGUGCCCGAAACAUUAAUCUUAUGUUAAAUUCUUAGAUACAAAAACAGAAUGCAUACCGAGUGAAAUAUAUUAUUUCAGAUCACCAACCAUUUAUAUUUAUGUACCAAACCCAUUAGUAUUAUAUUUGAGGAUGUGUGUUAAAGUCUGCUACAUUGAUUGACAUAUGGUCUAGACGAGCGUUUAUAAAUGGGGGGUAAUUUUCACUUUACAAGUUAGUUUUAUGAGGUAAUGUUAGGCUCAACCGUAAAUUCGAUGAAGAAUCAUAUCAUAUAUGUAACUAGUGGUGCAAAUUGUAGAUUAUAGCAUUAGAAUAUUUUCUAACUGGUUGGAUUAGAGUUCAAACUAUACGGUGGUGUUUAUAUAUUUUCUCAAAUUUCAUCUUCUUUAAGAAAACACUCACCUCAUAUUUUUUUCUCUACCUCAAUUCAAUUUUCUCUAAUUUAAAAGCUCUACAACUGUUUUUUUUUUUUUUUGGACCGACGCAUUCCCAUUGAAUUUGUAUAAGUGUAUAGUGGUUUUAAAAGGUUAUUCUAAAUCAUAUAGAGGCUUAAUUGUCACUAAUUUAGCCCCCAUUUCGUUGCAUAUGUGGUCUUUCUCAUGUGACUAGUAGUUUACUUUUCUAUGCAAGUCACCAUUUCCUAUCGCUGAUAUGAUAACACUACCUUAAUAAAUGGAUACUCUUCUGAUCUUAUGAAAUAAAAUUAAUGUAUUUAGUGAUCUAACUGAGCAUGUCAUAAUUAAUGAAAGCCAGACACUAGUUUCUCUGUUUUUAUUGGCUUGUUCUUCAUCAAAACAAGUUACCAUUUCAUGGAUCAUGAUCAUCCUUAAUUAGAGGCCAAAAAUAGAACCAUUGCAUAUGACUUGUGAGGUAUCAUCAUGGACAAAUCUUUCAUGAUCAACACAUAACGUUUAUCAUAAUUGCCUCUCGAACCCAGCCCCUCGAGAAGAGAGAGCUGGUGCCCAAAAGAAAGCAUACAAUACCCUAGCGCAAAGGUAAUACAGGGCCUGGCCAAAACUAAUCGAUUAUCAUCCAACUAUUUGACUAUUACUAUAUAAAAAUAACAGAAUGCACAAGUUCAAUUGAAGCUUUCAUAAUUAACUGUCAUUCAAAUUGAGUGACUGAAAAUGUAGAAGAGAAAGGGUGUGCUUUGGUGUACAAGGUUGGAUUUUGUCUCUGAUUAGUUUGGAUCAAUUUAAAUAAAAUGUUUAUGGUGAAUUAGUAUGUGUAAGUGAUGGAGAGAAAAUUCCUAGGCCUAAGUUAAAUGGAGUAUGAAGAAUAUCGUAUAUAGUUAUUUAGUGUAGAUCUGCACAGCUUCUAUUUGAACAGAAUUGUCAACCUCAUUCUUCAGUUUAUUGCAUUUUAAACAGAAUUUCUUGUUGACACAGUGAUAGGAACCCGAAUUAAAAGAUAAAACAAAUAGUAGUAUUAUUGCUUGAAAUACAAAAUAUUACAGAAGAUUGACCGAAUCCCAGAGCAAAAUGCUGCUCCUUCAGAGUGCUAACAAUGCAUCUCUGCCCUUCUAAUCUUAAGUCUAUAUAUUUUCCUCAAUCAUUCUUAUAGGCUAUAGUUGUUACCUUAGAAACAAAAACCUUAGAGAACUGCAAUUUGCAUCAUUCCAUAUUUCCAUAAUUUUACAUAGAAAAUUCUACUCUAUCAAGGUUAAUUCAACUAUAUAUUUAGAAAUGUCUACAAACGCUAAACCCAUCUGCUUACAAAUUGCAGAGCAGCAAGCAAGGACUUUUCUGUCCAGCCAUCUGUUUGUUUAAAACAUGAAAACUCAUUUCAAUACAGAGAAGAUAUACAGGUAGGCUAUGUUUCGCAGUAAUCCGGAGCACAUGCCAUGUUGAAUUUAACAAUUUAAAAACAAAAUAUACGUUAACAACAAACUAAGCCUCAUAGACACUUGCAAAGCCACAUUAUUUGAUAUGCCUAAACUGUCCAAAACAGAACAUUCACAUAGCAACAUCUUUUGGCUCUACUUGAAUGCUAUGCAGCGCUCUCCGUGCCUUGCACAAUUGUAGUCCUUGAACAAAUUUAAAAGCAGUUUUGUGAAGUGUUACCAAAGAUUUUACUGUUGAUGGAUUUGCCCCUGUUGUUGAAAUUGACUCAAAACUUACAACAUUAUUGUUAUUGUCACCAAGGUUUUAAAUAACAGUCCAGGUCGUGUUAAGCAUUUUGCGAUUUUGGCUUUCACAAAUGUUGCAUUGCAGUUUUCAUGGUGCAAAGUAAUCACAACAUUGCACAAAUCUUAUUAAACUUAUUUACACUAUCAUAUAAUGAAUCCUUUCAAAAAAUAAAACAUAAUCUGUGGCGUCUGCAAGACUUUUUUCAGGUACUGCAGGGAAUCCAAAUUCAUGUUUCUGAUUGUAAUUUGAGACAACAUGGAAGUAAGUAGGUAAGAAGGUUAAAACCUCCUUCUGUCAGAUGACAAGUUUUAACUUAAAACUGAAUGAGAAGAUUUUGUCAAAAAAAAAAAAAAAAACUAAUAUGUAGAUAAAAAUAGAAUUAAGAAACUUUUUUAUUUGCAGGCAAGUUGCUGACUGGCUUGCGAGAUAUGUUCUUUCUAUACCAAUGGGUACUCAUUAUUUUAGUCAUCCUGUAGUUUUAACCUUUUAUGAUUGGGUACUCAUUCUUUGAUCUUUGUGUCCGUCUAUAAUUUUACACUAAAGCACUUACUUCUACUACAUUUCAGCCACUCAUAUUCAAAGCGUCAUUGUCAAACGUGGAACCCUUAAGAUUUCCUACUCUGAUUGUUGUUGUUGCUCAGGAGUUAGAGAUAAGAGAUAACAACUGUUCAACUGUUGGUGAAUUUGGAGUUAACUAAUUCAACAGCUAGAGUGGACCCAACAGCAGUACAAUAUUUGGUGUAACUUCAUCGCCAACUUACGCCUCAUGUAUUUAAUUUACUAUUGUUAUGGUUUAGUUCUUUUGGAUCUCUACUUGUUGGUAUGGAUGAAAUAUACUGAAUACUUAAUGCAAAUUUAAUGCAAAAUGAAAGGUUUGAAAUUGUAUGUGCAUUCACUUUAUUAUGUACCCUAAAAAUGACGCAUAAUGUCACUUUAUUUGAAAACCGUAUUUAUAUUUGGCAGAAUGCAUACACAAGUUCAGCACAAGAGGAAAUGAGAGUGUAAUUCAAACUUCUCUAAGGAGAGGGGGUGUAAUCUGCUUACUCUAACAAAAUCUACGGUAUAGUAUAUCACAAAUGAUUGGCGCGCAAGGUUUGUGGUGCACAAAGUUCAAGGUGGUUGUAGAUUUUAGAGUACAAUUUUUUAUUCCUACAAAUAAAAAUUAGGCUUAAUUGCAUUUUUAUUCCCCCUACUUUAUUUAUUUUAUAACUUUUCAUACUUGUCCUCGUAAGUUUAACUCAAUUGGUAAGGACAAUGCAUAAUAUAUGCAGGGUCCGGGUUCAAACUUCGGCCAUCGAAAAAAAAAUCAUCCUCACCCCAUUUUAGGGUCAAUUUUGAUGAUAUGGCAAUUUCACUUAUGACAAAUUCUGAAAUGUAUGAUGAUAUGACAUCCUCCUCACCCCAUCAUUCAUCUCAUUCCCUUUAAAACAAAGACAUGUAUGAUGAAAUUGUUCAAAACUAGAUGAAAAGAAAAACGCAAGAUUGAAUUUGGAUAAGAAUCGGAAGGUGAGAUUGAAGUAUAAGGGGAAGAUCAAGAGAAAUAAAAUUUGAAGAGAAGGGAUUAAGAGAGGGAUGGAAGAAAAUUUGGGAUUUUAGGGUUAUUAUGAUAUUUAUUUUUCAUAAAUAGAUUCUGAUUUUUUUAAUAAUUAAAUUAUUUAUUAAAACAUGAAUUAUUGAAUUAAUAUAUAUUGUAUUUUCAAAGUAUCUAUAUGAAAUAUGCCAUGUCAUAAGUGACAUUGACAUUCUUUAAAAAAAAAAAGUGACAUUGACACGUCAUCAAAAUUGACUAGGUGGGGGAUGAAAAGUGAUAAGAAGAAUGAAGUAUGGGGAUCAAAAGGAUGAAGUAUGGGGAUAAAAAAAAAGGAUGAAGUAUGGGGAUAAAAGGUUCAUUUUUAACAUAGGGGAUCAAAACUUUAAAAAAUUAAAACUAGACUGAACAAAAAUGCAUUUAAAAAUAUUGAUCAAACUAUGAAUCAUAGUUAAUAAUUGAAUCAAUCAAAUCUAUGAUACAAUUAAAUCUAUGAAUCAACCAAUCAUAGAAAACAAUCAAGAGAUAAAUAAAAAUUACUUGCAAAUUUUUUAUAAAAACUACAAAAUAGGCAUUAUGAAUUGAAGUGUAUUUAUUUAAGUUUGACAUAAGCACUAUGCUUUAUCCUUCGAAACUAAAUAGUUAUAUUAACUUUUAAAAAUAAAAAAUAAAAGAUAAAGCGAAAGUAAAUCUACCAUUGCUUAUGUAAGGGUCAUAACAAUGUUUGUUUCCACCGGAGCCUCGCAGUUCUCUUUCACACAAUCUACAAUGCACACAUCAAGUCGUAACUCACGUAUAUUUCUAGCAGUGUAACACACAUAUUUACAAAAUAUUACCUCGUAUAUUCUUUCACAGAAUCCUUUCUGUUUAAUUGACACAAAUUCUUGAGAUGGAGUUAUGCAUUCCACUUGUGUUACAACUAACAUAAUCAUUAAGAUCAUUGCAAAACCUUUUCUUUUCAUGAUUACUACCAUGAUUAUUUUCUUUGUGUAUCUUUUACCAAUCUUUUAUUAGAAUUAUCUUUUUAUGUGAUGUUUUAGGUUUCGCCAAAAGACCUUAUUUAUAGCCAUAAAAAAUAUACCAAUAAGAGUUUUCAAACAUAGAGCUAAAGACAAUAAUAAUUAAUUUUCAAAUAUAAAACGUCAAAUCAAUCUCUAUUAAAAUUCUCUUUUUUGUUAUGUUUUAGGUUUUGCUAAAAGACCUUUUUCUUUUUGAAGGAGUUUUUGCCAAAAGACCUUAUUAAUAGCUAUAAAAGUAUACUAAUAAGAGUUUUCAAACAUAGGGCUAAAGACAUAAUAAUUAAUUUUCACAUAUAAAAGGUCAAAUCAAUCUUUAUUAGAAUUUUCUUUUUUGUUAUCUUUUAGGUGUUGCAAAAAACCUUAUUUAUAGCCAUAAAAAGUUCACUAAUAAGAGUUUUUAAACGUAGAGCUAAAGUCAUAAUAAUUAAUUUUUAAAUAUAAUAAUUCAAAAUUUCAAAUUAUAUACUAGUUUAUAAAAGAAAGUAAAAAUAUUAAUUAAAUCAAAGAAUUAAAUUUCCAUACCUGUCUACUUUGGUUACUUAUCAUUUUCAAGAAGAUUAUUAUUUACUAAUGAGGAAAACUAUAACACUUUCACGAAAAACUCUAUUCACGAACGACUUUGGGAGAAAGAUAAAUGCUAUCACGAUGCUAAGCUUGAUUCGAUUUGAUUUUAAGAAAGCUAAUGCAAUUGGAAGUAUGCAAGGUGCAUGUUCCUCACUUGAUACUAGAAUUGAAACGUUUUUUCUUCAAGGAUAUGUAAGACCAAAAUUGUACCGUAUUUUCAGUUGCAGUAAACAUCUCUUUGUAUUAAUAAAGUUUUGCCAAUGAAAGAACCAAAUUGGACUCUAAAUCUAAAAUGAUUAAGCUACCUCAUCUGAAUCUAAAUCAUUUUCCCUCCUUGAAUUUUUCACAGGGAAGAAAACAUUUGAAACAUCACCUCCACUGUGCAAUUUUUGUACCCAAAGAAAGAGUCAGAAAUCACGAACUUUCAAUCUUGAGAAAAUCACAAACUAGGCUGAAGUGAGGGUCAUUGAAAACAUAGGACUCAAUCUAAUCUCAGAUACGAGAUAAAACAUCACUUAAAUAUUUACGCACUUUCGAAAUUUGCAAAUCAAAUUGAGAUGAUUAGAGUUAUCCAUGAGGAAUGUAAUUACAGUUUUACAAAGAUCACAAGAGCCAAGCAUAGUGGUUAUCGAAUUUGCUUUUGUGGCAUCAAAUGGCAUAUAAGCGUGUUGCUUGGAUCACACAUAACUUUAUCUUGCAGAUAUAUAUAUAUAUAUAUAUAUAUAUAUAUAUAUAUAUAUAUAUGUCAUAACCAAUUGACAAGCUUGAAAAGAAGAAGGAAACAAUGGCUAAAGAUUACAAGGAUCAAACGCCAGUUCCAUUAUAUUUAGGAGGUAUAGAACCCACUAUUUUGUACUCUUGUUAAGCUCAUUGCCUACAUUGGGUUUGAUUUCUGCCAAUGUAUUUCGGUCUUCUUUGAUUGUAUUUCCCAAGUAAGAAGAAGGAACCAGAUUUUUUAUGCUAACUUGGAUGAGUGGAUUCACUUUUCCUUAAAUCAUUAUAGCAAGACAGAUACGAGACUGGCCAACCUUGUGGGCUAUAGCUUAUUACUCAUGUGGAUGUGGAUAAAUAAAGAAGAUAAUUGUUAAUAAUAAUAAACCAAUAUUAUAUAAUGCUAUUAUAUACCACGUACUCAGAAGUAAAAUAAUCAAUUUUUCAACAAAAAUAGUAGAACAACAAACAAAUAAAAUGUAUAUAGAGAAUUUAAAGUUAAAAUCAAGGGUAUUAGAUAAAUCGUCAUAGCCAGCAAAAUAAAUCAAUUCUUAAUGAAGACCGUUAGAUAAUUUAGACAUAUAAAUAUUAUCUAAGAGACUAUGGCCCCUGAUAAGGUUCAAAGCCAAAUCAGACCUUCGUAACAGUAAGCAAAGAAUACGUCUUACAGUUGUGAUUGGGUUUCGGUUCUAGAUACUGUCAUUCUGGAAUCAAACAUCAUAAGGUUAUGUUUGUGAUCUCACUAAUAUAACUUAUUGGACCAACUUAUAAUAAAUAUUAAAAGUAACAUUACAAAUACACUCCACACUCAUAUUCAUAUUUCAUUCCCAGAGAUAGGAUUGCUUCGGUUUUGUGCCAUUGCCGCCCAGAAAUGUCAUGAUACUUGUAAAGAGCACUGCAUCCCCUGUCUAGCUCCAUUGCAACAGCAAACAGAGUCGGAAAUCUUGAAAGAUCGAAAAGGAAAAGUUCCGAAUCUAAACACAAAUGACUGAAAUAGUAAAAAUACUUGAAAUUUCCAACAGCAUGACUGGUAAGUGACAAAUUAUACACCUCUGUUGUAACCCGAGAGUCAGAGAGGACAGGUGACUUAGUCUUAACCUACCUGUCAUUUAUAACACUAAAUACAUACAUAUCCCCAUACCAUGAUAAACCGCAUAAAUUAAAGCUCGCAUAAUCACACAAAUUACAAAUUCAAAUCUCCUCAUUAUCUAAGUUUUCCAUUAUGUAUAAAAUAACAGAAAAACGAAGACUCGGAGUAGCAAGCAUAGUGUAAAUUGCAUAUUCAUUUUGUUGAUUGAAUGGUAUAUGCAGAUCGUUGUACGGAGGGAAUCCAAGUUUAGUACAUAGUGCAUAAAUCCUGUCGGUGCUGGUGGGUUCGCUGCACCUGUUAUACCAACAUACCUCUUUGCGAGCAUUGAAAAGAAGAAAGAUACAAUAACCAAAGAUGACAAGGAUGUAAAACCUGUUCAAUUGAGGAAGUUUAGAAUCCACAUUAUUAUUUUCAUGAGCCUGGGAUGGUAAACUCACGAAACGAAGACUGACGCCUAUUUCCUUAAGUGCUGCCUCUACCGGUUUUCUGAAUUCAGGAACCACGAAGCAUAACAUAGAUCCAACAUAAGUGCAUAACUCCUUGCUAUUUUUUGAAUCUUUGGUAGCAUCAUAAGCAGCAGAGAAUGCCAUUCCAGUGGUGGGAUCAUCUUCAUCUGGGAUAUAAAAAUUAUAUUCACUCGUACGUGGCUGAUUUGGUGGUUGGAAGUGUUUCAACUGUAGAACAGUUUAAGUUAUCUGCAGGAGUAUGAGAUGAUGGGACGAUGCAUUGAUUCAAUGCAUUUGAUGAUUCUUCUUGGUUGCCGCUUAGGGCUUUGAUUAAUCUGUUUCCCAUUUUCUAUAGAACUCAGAAGUUAGAAGAAUUUUAGAUUGAUUUUGGUUAAACUAAACAAAGUUAACGCACUAUAUAUAAUUAGUGUAUGUAGUGUUUCUGCUUAAUGGAGAGCAUUGGAAAGUGGGUGGAAGCUAUUGUUGGAUAUUCUCAAAAACCGCUUUUUUAAUAGAGUCCAUCAAUAGAGAAAUGAUAUAUGUACAAUCAUUUUGUGACAAUUUUGGAUAAUUUUCUCUCUCAUACUUACAUCAUAUUUUUAUUCCCUCUUUUAAUUUUUCUCUCUUCAUUGUUUUUGACCAAUAAAAAGAUAGAAAAGCAAGGUUGUCACCAAAGUUGUCAUCAAUUGGAUGUACAAAUAUCACUGCUCCCAUCAAUAGUAUUGGGAAGGAAUAUGAAUUAAUUAUACAAAUAAAUAGAUUACUGCAUGCCGUAUGAACUCAUCUUAUAUUCAUUCAUUUUUUCAUUUGGAACAUACUUUUAGAUCACGGGGUCGAGUUACAAUACAUUAGGAUUCAUUUUUUUUAUUGAAGGAAAUACAUUAGGAUUCAUGGAAAGGGUAAAAGGUGGAUUUCAUUUUUUUCAAUUGAAACUAAAAUAAACGAUUGUGAGGUGAGAAGUAUUUGUUCAUUAAAAAUUAAGUGAACAAGAAUUGUAAUAAGCCUUCAAGUAAAUGGAGAAUCAUUGAGCUUUGAUUAAUAUUUUUAAAGAGUUGUUUACUUGCUAAAGAGUUGUUUCUUAGAGCUGAUUUUUAUAUAGACCGAUUCGGACUUCCUACUUUCCGUUUUCCUUAGGUUUCUUGCUAUAUCUUUUAGCUUUUUUUCUUGCUUUUUUUUUCUUCCAAGAGCUUUGGUUUGGUCUCCCCUCUUGUACAGUUUUUCUUUUUUAUUGAUAAAUUUUUUUAACAAGGUGAUAGAGGAUGGGGUAACCUUGGAGUGUCAACCUAGUUGGGAGGUCAAGCUAUCCUCUUAUGUCUUCGUCUUCCUUUACUUUUGAUUCAUUAAAAAAAAAAAAAAAAACUAGCUAAAGAGUGUGCUGUUAUAAAAAUGGUGAGAUUUCAUUAUACUAACAAUAUAUAUAAAUUAAAAUAUAUUAAUAAUCAGAAUAACAAUAUAAUAUAAACAUACUUCUUUUACAGUAUAAUAAACUUCAUUCAAAAACUAAAAUAAACCUAGUACCAUUCAAUUGACAAUGAGUUGGACAUUUCACAUCCACAUUUUGAUAUCAACUCAAGCGUUUAAGAGAGUAAAAAACACACUAACAAAUACACAUAAAAUAUUAGAAGUCAAGUGUAAAAUAAAAAAGUAAAAUAUUAAUUUUAACAAUCAAACUAAGUUCUUUUACAUAUGGCCAAUGGUCAAGAUUAAUGCAAGAUCCGCACUCUUUAAUUUCAUCCAUCAACGAAAAAAAAUGUUGGUGUUUGCUUAUAUCGAUUAUAUGUGCUCUUUGAAAGGAAUAGAUCGACCUAACAUUUGCGGAUACAUCAGAAUAGAUCUAUGGUGGAUCACUCUUACGAUUGAUCCACCAUAGACACUUAAGGUUAAAGUUAACAGCUACGGAUUUAUUUGGCGAACAAAGGAAAAAAUGAGGGACCAAAACGCCAAUUUUAUUAAUUGUGGGACUAAAACGAAAACAUGAAAUUAUUUAAGGGACAAGGUGAUCUAAUAAGCCUAUAUUUAAUUAAUAUUUAAAUUAUUUUUCAAUUAAUAUUACAGGGGUAGAAUCGAGAUAAAUAAUAAUAAGUUAUAAACUACUUGAAUUAACUUAUCAAAAAAUGUUAUAAGCUAGUAAAAAUAACCUAUAAACUCUUGAAAUAGUGAAGGUAAACAAACAGGGUCUUUUUUAAUCAAAUGAGUUUAAAAGACUAAGGUAUAAACUGUAAGCUCAAAAAAAGGUCUUGUUAAAAAGACUCUAAGACGAUAGGUAUUGGGGUUUCUAGGUAUUGGGAUUUUUAGGUUGAUGAAUAUUUUUUAUCUUAGUAAGAUUGUGUCUCUAAUUCAAAUUUACAUAGGUUUUGUUUGUGAGAUUAAAGGGAAAAGGAAGGGAUGAGUUUGGAUAAAAAGAAAGAUCAAGUGGAAGAAUGGAAGAUUAUGGGAAAAGAUGAUUUUGGAGGUUUAUUUUUUUUCAUAUUACAAAAUCUCUCUCUCUCUUUUUUUUUUUUUUUUUAAAAAAAUUCGGUAUCCGAUCCAAAGAUCGACUAAUCCGAGGAGACCAAUCUCACCGCGGGCCGUUCUAAGUCAAAGCAAAGCUCUGUAUGGACUCAAAAAAAUUAUAUUUGAAGAAGUUUUUGAAGGUUUUGUAUGAUUUUUAAAUCUCAAUCUAUGUUGUAAUACUACCUCCGUCUUUAAUUAUAAGACCCUUUUGAGAAUUUUUUUGUCCCUUUUUAUAAGACCAUUUUGCUAUUUCCAACUACAUUAAUUAUUUCUUUACAUACAUGCCCCUAUUAUUAUACAUCUUUUUCUUAAAUCAACAAUAAAUAAUAUAUGGAAAAUAGAAACUAACUUUGUCUCUUAAGGAUAAAAUUGUAAAAACAAUAAUGAUUACAAACAGCUUUAAUACAAAUAUCCACUUUCUUAAUUCCCUUAAUUUUAACAAAAGGGUCUUAUAUAUAGGGACGGAAGGAGUACUAUUUUUAAAAUUAAAAUUAUAUUAAUUAUAAAUUUUUAAUUAUUCAUUUUCUAAAAAAAAUACCAUUUCAUAAAAUGUGCAAGAUUUCUCAAUUAUUCUUCAUAUUUUCAACCCCCAAAGUCCUCCCCUCCAAACUCCAAUACAAAGCCUUGGUGUGUAUUGAACUAAGUGGAGUCCUCUAUUUAUAUAGAGAUUCUGUAACUGUUUUAGCAAAAAUUGCGACGGCAGUUACUCUAAUGGAUAAAAUUAAAAUGAAGUUUAUCCAUUAAUCAGUUCAACAACACUUGUUGAUAGGAUCAAAAGAAACAAAUCCACAAAAGUGGAGGAAACAAACUAUUGGAUUUGAAUGAAGGAAAUAUAAGAAAUUUAAUUAAAUUCUUAUUCUUAUCACAACCACCAUAAGCUAAAUUUAUGGAAAGUGAUACUCUCGAAUAAAAAUAAUUACUAUUAUUUUUAUCAUUAUCAAUUAUUUAAAAUUAAAUACCACAAUUUAAACACUACUAAUGUGUCUUCUAUUUUAUGUGGAACCCACAUUCUAUUUUUUCAAUUCACACAACAUUAGAUCAAAGUAUAAUUAUUUGGUGUUUAAUCUUCCAAUUUAUUUUCCAACACCACACUAAUGUUCCAACACCAUCCAUGCUUGCCUGCUUUGGUUGUUGUAUCCUUAUCCUUUUCAAGAAAUUUACUAACGACGAAAAUUAUAACACUUUCAUGACAAACUCUAUUCGCGAACUUAGGGAGAGAGCUAAAUGUGAUCCUGAUGCUAAGUUUGAUGUUCCAUUUGAUUUUAAGAAAGUUAAUGCAUUUAGAACUAUGCUUGGUGCUUUGUUCAAUACUAUGCAAGGAUGCAAUUAUUUUUCUAUUGAUGCAAAUCAAUUGCCAAAAUUCAGGAAUUGGUUCUGUUUGUCAAUAUUUGGGGAAUACAUCAUUACAUUAGUUUGGUUUGAUAUGCAUCAUUUGGAUUUUAUGAAUGAUUUUUUGGUUAUGCCUCCAUUCUAAAGAAAGCUAAUGCAAUUAGAACUAAGUAACAUUCUUGCAGUUCACCUUAAGCUUAUGUAUUAACAAUUAUAGAUUUCUACACAUUCUUUUUUGCUCAACUUGUAGAUUUCUACACAAGCAUUCUUUUUCUCGUUCCUUAAAUGUCUUGUAUUGAACUUAUGCAUUCUGCCAAAUUUAAAUAUGAUAAUCCAAUAAAAUUUAUUUCAGAAUUAAGUUUUUAAAAGAAAAUCUGUGCUUGCUUCUAUUUUUUCUGUUGGAUAUUUUUAUUCACUGUCAUUUUUGUCUUAGGAAAAAAAAAACGUUUCAACUCUAAUAACACAGGCACCUGUUGUUUAAAAAAUGACACGUCAACAAAACUAACCGAAAAGUAGAUGUCAGUUGCCGAUAGAAACUAAUCACCAAAACUAACGAAAGUGUGUUUUGUCGAGUUUAAAAUGUUUUGCUUUUUGUUAUGAAUUAGUAGAACAUGGUAUCGAAAUCUAAGGGAAUAACGUUGUCAAUGUUUACACAAUUUCAAUCCAUUCAUAAUUUCAGUCAAAGUUUGCACAAAAUAAACAGAAUACUUCAUCCAGAGCAACAUUAGACAAAUAUGAAGGUAGAAUAAGAGGACUCAAUUCCACCGAACGAAAACUAAAAUGAAAAUACAUAAACCAGACUCGAUUCUUAGUAAUUUUUUAGCAAUUCCAUUUCUACAUAAAAGUACGAAAUUGGAUUCUCAAUCUAAAUAUGUUUCGUCCAUAAUCUAAAUUUGUAGCUAUUGGACUCUGGUGAUUUUGAAUGGAUAGAUUUGAUUCAUCCGCAGGCGUGUUAUUACCAUUGUUGAUGGAAUUCUUCAUUUUAAAGGGUGAGAAAUGAUGACAAACUUGCUUUAGGAUUUGUUUUAAACUAGUAAACAAAUUACUCCAACGCACUAUAUACAUAAGUGUGGUGUUUAUUGGAAAGGAACAAUUGAUAGGAAGCUGUUAAGGUUCCUAAUGAUUUGCAUUUGAAGCCCAUCAAAUAUUGGGAAGGAAAAAAGGAGAAUACAAAUGAUUACAGUACUACUCAUUCAAUUUCCUUCAAUCAUUCGAUUUCCACAUGCACGCUCAUCUUACCUUAACUCGUUCAAUUUCUUUAAUUUGACCAUUUACUACGGUAUUUUGGAGAACAUCAAUUAAAUUCACAUAGUCUUCUCUUUCUAUGUAACCGAUGAAAUUGAAAAUUAAUGGAUUUAACUUUUCAUGACUAUUGGGAUUUCACUACGAUCGAAAGGAGUUAAAUCCUUUUUAGGUAUGAUCAUCUCCAUUUCUUUCAUUUGAAAUGAUAAAGACAAAUAAAAAAUUUUAAAAAAAUAUGAAUAAUCAAUUAUAUAUUCAUUAUCUAUUUUUUGUGUCUACCUCCCUCUAAAUUAUAUACUCCAUUUAGUCCUGAAAUGAAAUGAAGAGGAUCUUAACUCCUAUCGGUCGUAGUGAACCCCAAUAGUUUUGAAAGAGGAAGGUGUACAUUUGAAUUAUUUAGAAGAGUUAUCAAUGGUUUGAAAAACAUUUCAAUUGUUUUCAUUCGAGUCGUUGUAAAUCAAUUUUAUCAUAAAUCAUUCAUAGGUGUUUUAAUUCUAAUAAAGAUUAAUGGUUCUUAGAAGAUUUAUUUAAGACAAUACAAAUUGGGAAAAAAAAAUCAUCUCAAGUUCCAACACAUUUCAAGACGGAAGAACGCUCAAAUGGAUGAAAACUGCAAAAUUUGCACCCACCAUACUGCCCAGGCGCACGACUACGACAAAAAUUUCCUUUUUGCUUGUUUUCCUAGCUUGAUCGAUGGAAAAAGCACAAUUCUCAUAUCUCAAACCCUAAGUAAUGAUUCAAUAUAAACAGAGACUCUUGCACACACUUUUACUCCCUCCGUCCCAAAUUGCAUGUCACUUUGGAAAAAAAAAUUGUCCCAAAUUGUAUGUCGCUUUACAAUACCAAUGAAUCAUUAAUGUUACUUUUCCUAUUAUACCCUUCACUAUUUAUUGCCUUAUCUACUUCCAAGUCAUUCAUUUAUCUUUCUCAUAUCAUUUAUUAAGGAUAAUUUUAUAAAACAACUCAUAAUAUCUAUUUCCCACACAAAAUUAAUUACAUUUCUUAAUACGUGUAAAAUGCCCAAAACGUCAUACAAUUUGGGACGGAGGGAGUAUUUAUUAAGAAAGUCAGCGGUACAAGGCAAACAUCAAACAUCAGAGGAUCAAGCAAGACCGAACCUGAGGUUGGACGAGGAUGGCGACCGUCCUAGACCCCAAAAAAUAAGUUUAUAAUUUGGGCCCCAAAAUAAAAUAAAAUAAAAGGAUCCAUUGAGCCAAAAAAAAAUUACGUAAAAAUUAUUUUGUAUGAACAUUUGAAUAUUAAAUAAACAAUUCAAUGUUGUUUGUAUGAUGUUUGCCGCUUUAUUAGAUUAUUUCUUAAUGUAAUAAAAAAUAGGUUUAAUACAUCGUUUGAUUCCUUAAUUUAUUUUCUGUUUUUAAUUUGAUCAUCUAACUAUUAAACGUUUUAAAUUGGUCAUUUAUCUUCUUUCAGUCCUUCAAUUUGGUCCUAUUUAAUUUAUUUUAACCCCCAAAAAAAGGGGACCAUUGGAUAAAUGAGGUCUAUCAGAUCUAACUGUGUAUCACCAACACAUAAUUUAUUUUCUUUUCUUCAUCUUCUUCCCUCAUCUUCAACUUUUUUUUUGUUCUUUCAAAAAUUCAUCAUUUAAAAUCGAAUCACCAAAAUCGGAUCACCAAAACCCAUUAACUCCACCACCAUCAUUCAAACAUUUAAGUAUAUAGUCAUUCGAAAAUUGAAAUUCUAAAUAUGCUUUAGCUAUAUCAUGGAGAUGGAUGAUGAAGACUGCAUGAACGUGAAUGAUCUGGUUAAUAACGUGCGGCAAAAUCUCGUGGCAUCACGUGACAAUCAAGAUCAUAGUUUUAAAACCCGGCUCGGACCGGCCGGUUGGACCGGUCGAACCGGAAAUCGGUGGUAUGGCCGGUUCGAGUGGCAAGUAGGAUCGGUCAUGUUAUCAGACCGGUGUGAACCGGCGAGAAUCGGAAAAAACCGGUUACUCGGCCGGUUUACAGAACCGGACCGAGUCUAUAAAUAUUUAAAAAAUAAAUAAAAAAUUGCAGGCGGAGGCGGAACAAAUAGUUUAACGCUUCAUCGUCUUCAGUUAGCCCACUGCCAUGCUCGUUUUUGCAUUUAAAGGUGUCGGUCACUGUAUUUUUUAGUAGGAGGAGGUAGAAAAUUAUUAGUUACUACUGUAUGAAAAAACAGGAUCAGAAGGGCAUCAGCGUUUUUGUGAAGAGAAAAUAAAGGGCCAGAUGUAGUUUGUUCAUUUUAUAGAAAUAACCAGUACUAAGUGAAAAUUGAAAUCUUCAAAAAUUGGAUUAUGGGGAAGUGGUUUUCAUUCUUCUAGGCGGUUGGAUGACAUUGGACACCAUGUGGCAUAAAUGAUGCAUAGAAGAAGAAUAGUCUAUAGUUAUGUAUUGUUUUUUUUGAGGGAAUAGUUAUGAAUUGUUAUUGGCUAGUGUAGAGCAUUAAAGAAUAGUAAAAUACAAUACAUUUUAAAUUGGAUGAACUCAUAUACGGAGAGUUGCAGAAUAUAUGACUAUAUCUAAAAUAUUUAUUUAUUUUUGAGCAAAUACUAAAAUAUUUUCUAUUUAUUUAUGACAUUGUGGAAAUUAAUAAUUGUUAUUAUGAUUUUUUUAGACCAAGUGAUAUGCUUUAAUCCGAUUAAAUACAAAAACAAAUUAUUUUUAAAAACCGAGUUGUACAACCGAGUCAUCCGGUUUAUCCCGGUUCAGUCAUGCGGUUCAACCAGUGACCCAGUGGUUCGACCAAUAAACCAGUGACCCAGUACCCUAACCGAAUCGACGACCGGUCCGAGUUUUAAAACUAUGAUCAAGAUAAUAUUUCUUAAGAGGGCCAGAUAAAAUCUCCAAUUAGUAUUGUUUAUGUCCGCUUUGAAGUGUGUAGAAAAUUUUGUUUGGUUCCUUUCAAUAAUUCAAUGUAUAAAGCUAUGUAAGAUGAGUUUUGGUGAUCCGAUUUUGAAUGAUGGUGGUGGUGUUAAUUAUAAAUUUAAAGGUUUGAUUAUAUGGUUUUUGUUGAAGUUUUAAUGAUCAAUUUUUGAAAGAACAAAAAAAAAAGUUGAAGAUGAUGAAGAUUGAUGAAGAUGAGGGAAGAAGAUGAAGAAAAGAAAAUAAAUCAGGUGUUGGUGAUACACAGUUAUAUCUGAUAGAUCUCAUUUAUCCAACGGUCUCCAUUUUGGGGGUUAAAAUGAAUAAAAUAGGACCAAAUUGAAUGAUGGAAAGAAUAUAAAGGACCAGAUUGUCAAAUCAGCUUCGAUGCAGUGCAAAUCAAUUCAAUGACUUUGGAGUCACCAAUGUUGCAGAUCCGGAGACAUGAGUAUUCCGGUGACUUAAAUAUUGUCAUAUGUGUAGGCUUUAGUACUUUUUCGUUUUAUGCUAUUAACAUGGAUGUUGAGAGGUUGUUCACAUAUUCAUCCUUUUUGUUUUUAGCGAAUUUUCAUUGUAUCGAUGUACUCUAUCAAUUUGAAUGAAUGAAUAUCAUUUACUUUUGUCAAAAAAAAUACUCCCUUCAUCACUAUUUAUAAGAAUAUUUGUCGAUCACUUUUUAAGCUUAUUAAGAAAAAUUGAUAGUAUCCUUCAAAAAAAAAUUGAUAGUAUAAUAAAAAUAUAUAAUUUGUCCUAUAUAUAAAUGCUUUCGUUAUGAUUUUUUUAUUCCAAUGCAAUUGGUAUUCCCUCCUAGCCUAAAUUAUAGGAAAAAUAUUUUUUAAGGACAAACUUAGGCUUUAAUAUCUGGGAUAGGUUUAAUCUGAUAUAUAUAUAUAUAUAUAUAUAUAAAAGGAAUUCGAUUUAGACUAACAAAAAUGCCUAAAAAUAAGACUUUGAAUAUAAAUAUUUUUUUGGCUGGGCUACAAGCUCUAUUAAAAAAGGUUAGACUUAGACUAAGUAAAAAGCUCUAUCAAAAUGUCUAGAUGUCUUAACUCAACUGAUAAAUACCAAAAUUGUAAGGUCAGACAUUGUGAUCCGGAUUCAAACCCGGAACCUCACAGUUGUGUGUGAGUUUAAUAUCAGUGCCUUUACCACCACUUCAUCUAAGACACAAAAAAAAGAAAAAAGAAAAAAAGCUCUAUCAAAGUUGAUAGAUUGACCUACAAAUGGCUAUCUAAUAAAAAUAAAAAACUAAAGUCAAUAGUAUAGCUUGUAGAAUAACAUGAUAUUAAGUUCUUAUAAAACAAUUAACUGUUUUUUCUAAUGCAUGCAUGAUUUAUAGAAUAAUAUCAAAUAUACUAGGCAUUCAAUAUCCUGAAAAGUAGUUUUUUUUUUUUUUUUUUUUUUUUUUUUAAUAAAUGUGACUGGAGGAAGUAUUAAAUAUUUAUGUCAUGAUUGCAUUUGUUGAGAGGAGUUUUUCAAAAAUAAAAUUGACAAAAUUUCAACUGCGAUCCACAAUGAAAAUCGAGUUGAUUCCAAUCAAACCAUUGUGAUCUUGAGAGAUGAGAACGCAAUCGUUGAGAACUUUGUGGUUUAGAAGAACUUAAGUCUCUAUCUUGGAACCAAAAUUGCGAUCCUUGGUCUUGUCUUUUGCCUUGAUUCCAAUCAAACCAUUGUGAAUGUUGUCUUCUUUUAUUUCAUGUAAUUGAAUGAUUUUGUUUUAAUUUUUUCUUUUGUUCGAUGUAAAUGAAUACCUUAUCGUAUGAAUGAAUGAUUUAGUUUAGUUUUGUUUCUUUUAUAAAUGAUUUGAAUGAAUGGAUGAAUUUAUGAAGGUUGAAUGAUGUUGAUUUUGUGUGGUUGGUUUUGCACCGACAAUUUGGCCGUCCACGAUGCACAAAAACUUGUAUAAAUAAACGUGUUUGAUUCAUUUGUUGUAAAACGCAACAAGAACUAUGAUCACUUAUCCGGUGGAUUUGAACACAAGAAAUAUGUCAAUUGACAUGACAAUAUGAUCAAAUUUUUAACAACCUCUUGGAAUUAAUACAUUCUCUUUCAUCAUUACUCUACUUGAUAAAGUAACAUUUAUCAUUCUAUGUUAUUUUACAUGCAAUUUUUGUAUCUAGGUCAUUAUAUUUUAUUUGUUCUAAUUUACAACAAAUGGAUGGAGAUGGUUUGUGGGAGGAAACUUUUUUUUUUUUUUUUUAAGAAGUGUGGGAUUGAGAGUUCCUGUUAAGGUAUAAAAUAAAAUGCAACGACACUAAUGUUCCGCUGGUGCAAUGACAAUUUACUGUGGUUGAGGACGGAAUGACAAUUAACUGUUGUUGGGGGGAAAUUUGGUCACUAUGGAUGGGUUGGGAGAAAAUUUAGAUGUAAAGUCUGCAUUUCUGAAUGGACCACUUGAAGAGGAUGUGUAUUACACAACCACCAGGAUUUGAAGUAAGUGGGAAGGAGCAUAUGGUGUACAAGUUACAAAAAGCCCUCUAUGGCUUGAAACAAACACCUAUAGAAUGGAAUAAGAGGAUUGAUCACUUCCUAAUUCAAAAUGGAUUCAGAAAAUGCAAAGUAGAAUAUGAUAUAUAUAUGUUCAGAAACUGAAUGAUGAAAACAUUACUAUAAUCUGCUUAUAUGUAAAUGACUUACUAGUAACUGGAAGUAAUCCAACUGAGAUUGAGAAGUUCAAACACACUAUGAAGUGUGAGUUUGAAAUGACUGAUUUGGGAAGAUUAUCCUAUUUCCUUGGAUUUGAGUUCACAACUAGCAAAGCAGGCAUAAUGAUUGUCGCGUCAUUUUUCGGAGAUCAAGACUAUUUGAUUAGCUUUUGACUCACUAAUUUAUUUCACGACUGAACAUUUAAUUUUUAAGAAAAAAGGGGAAAAAAGUUCAAACAACCCCAUAUUGAAAAGAUUUUGGGUUCGGGGGUUAGUUACAUAAAGGGAAGGUGUUAGCACCCUUUAUGUCUGUAGUACUCUACGGGAACCUCUUGGUUUUAUUUAAUUUAAUGUGCUAUAACUUGCUUGCUUUUGAAAAGAAGGAAUUAAUGUGAUGAAAAGGAAAAUAAAGUGAGACCUGAUUUAUCUACAUUUUUAUUGUUUGAAAGGACAUGGUCCUCUGCCUACGUACCCGUGAAGGAUCAAAACCUCGUAGUUCGGGGUAGAAAAUGACGUUUGAUUUGUUUUGUGUUUUUUAUUAGUUUUGAAAAAGGUUUUAAAUAAAAAAGCCAAGUGGCAAAUUGGAAUUUGUUUGUGUUUUUUAUAUUGAAAGAAAUAGGCUUGAAAUAGAAUUAGAAUUGAUUUGAAAUUUGAUUAAGAAAGAAAAUAAAAAGAACGAUCACUUGAUUUGAGAAUCAAGGUUUAUUGUAAAAAAAGGCUUUUUUUUUGUGAUUUUUUGUUAUUUGCAUGUUUUUGUUGUUUUUUUUUUAAUAAUAACUAAAAUUAAAACUAACGGAGCAAGAAAGUAAAAGCGUAGUUACUUAGUAGUGAUCCUAAACUAAAAAGCAUAAAAAUAAAGCAUACACCCACACACGCACCCAUGCAUCUACGACUAUUACAUAAAAGCUUAUGAUACAUUCUAAAGUCCAGUGGAAUAAUAAACCUAAACUAAUAAAGAAGCAGGAGAAUAAAAAGAACAGCCACUGUCUUGCAAUUGGAAUUGGAAUGGAACAGCCACGUCAAACACCUGCAAAUAAAUGGAUGGACACUCGAAAAUUGAAAGAAAAGCCACGACAACAGCUAAUUGUGAUUAAUGAAGCCCCUGCAAACAAGUAAACAGAAGGACACGCAGCAAAAGGGAUUAAAUACAAACACACAAGCCGUGCCACAUGAAUUAAUCCAAACGCAGAUGCAAUGAUAUAAAUGAAAAGGCAAUUGGAAUUGAAACUAGAGGCACAACCACUAAUAAUUGAAAUCCAGAUAUAACACGUAGCAGCAAGAGAAUUAAUUGAGUUUGGAUGAAUAAUAAAAAAAAAACAAAAUGGCAAUUGAAAUCAAAAUGAGUUAUUUACGGUUGAAUGAAGUUUAAAAGCAAAGUUAUGAAUCCAAUUCAAUAUGAAUAGUGGACCGAUGAAAGUAAAACAAGGGUGAUAAAAAAAAUAUAUAUACAAAGAUUUAUGGAAAUAUAUGAAUACGGCAAGGGAAAAUGGUAGGGAUUGGAUCCAAAUAAUUCAACAAUAGCGAUGAAACAUAUAUAUGGAACUACGGCUGUAAAAAUCAAACUGAAGCUGAAAUUAAAAGAAACUACGGUUUUGGUUUGCAGGUUUGUGGAAUAUUUGUGUGUGAAAAUUGUGUUGUCGGGGUCCAAUUGUGUUGUUGCAGGUUGCUUUUUAUAGGAUUAGGAGUAGGGUUAGGGUUUGUUAAAAGUGGAGAAAAAAAUGUGAUAACACUGCUUGAAUUGGGGAGGAAGCAAGCAAACACGUUUGACAGGAUUUGGCUGUACAGCUUGCAUUUGGAUUGGGACAAUUUUGGAUAUUAUUGGACAAAAAUGAAAUAAUAAUAAUAAUAAUAAUAAUAAAAGAGGUAAAGACUAGGAAACAAGAUAAUAAUAAAAAUGGGAUAAAUACUAACAAAAAAAGAUGAGAUUAGAAUAAAGAAAGAUUUUUUUUUUAACACAAAAUUAAAGUUAACUAAUUAACUAAACAAACUUAAAUAAAAGAUGGAAUUAAAAAUGAAAUAAUAAAAAAAAGAAAUAAAGAGAGAAGAAGGCUCGACUCGGAACCAAAAAAUGAGGUAUUUUAAAAUACCUUUUUGCCGAAUUUUUUACUGAAAAAUCAGGGAUUGAUCAGAGUCAAAUGACACGUGUCAGUGGGAUCUUGGGUCAAAAAUUGGGGUAUGACAAUGAUGUAUCAGCAGAAGUACAUUGGAUAACUGCUUGAAAGAUUUCAAAUGAUUGAUUGCAAUAAUGCAUCAAAUCCAUCUGAAACAAAUGCUAAACUAGAUGAAUGCAGUAAUGAAGAAAAGGUGGAGUCUACUGAAUUCAAACAUAUAGUGGGAUCACUGAGAUACUUAUGCAACAGCAGACCAGAUAUAUGCUUUGCAGUAAGUAUCAUCAGUAGAUGCAUGAAUGAUCCAAGGAAGUCUCAUCUCACUGCAUCAAAAAGGAUAUUGAGAUAUGUGAAAGGCAGAUAUGCGAAAGGCACACUGAAGUUUGGUUUGUUAUUCCCAACUGCAAACAAAGAAGGAGAAGCUGAACUAGAGGGAUACUCUGAUUCAGACUGGUGUGGAGAUAGAAUGGAGGAAAAGCACCUCUAGCUACCUAUUCAAGUUCAAUGGUGCUGCAAUCUCAUGGUGCACAAAGAAACAACCAGUCACUGUUCUAUCUUCCUGUGAAGUUGAGUACAUUGCUGGUACAUUUGGAGCAUGUCAAGCAAUCUGGCUUGACAAUGUGAUGAAGGAUUUGAAUUGUGAAGUAAAGAAACCACUGAAGCUGAAGAUUGACAAUAGUAAAUUUGGCCAAGAAUCCAAUUGCACAUGGCAGGAGCAAGCAUAUAAAAACUAGAUUUCACUUUAUCAGAGAACAAGUCACAAAAGGAAUGAUUGAAGUGGAAUACUGUCCUACUGAAGCUCAUCUUGCAGAUGGUUUCACAAAAGCUUUGAAGAUUGAUAGGUUCACUUGCUUGAGGGACAAGUUAGGUUUUAUAGAAUGUUAGGGUCCGUUUGGUUCGAGAAUUAGGAGGGGAGGGGAGGGGGAGGGAUUUUUACGGAGGGGAGUGGAGGGGAGAUAUUUUUAAUUAAAAGUGUGUUUGGUUCACAAGGGGAGGGGAGGGAUUUUAACAGUAUUUUACCGUUUUACCCUUAAACUUAAUUAAAUAAAAGAAACUGUUUGUUUUUACGAUUUCAGAAACUGACAAAGACAAGCACACAUCUAAGCCGCUAUUUUAUCUUAAACUGGCUCAUGUAUUUUGCUCCAAGCAUCAUAUUGUUUUUUUUUUUUGGCUUUUUUUAUCGGAGCAAUUCUUUGUAAUUUUUUUUUUAUAAGAGCAAUUCUUUGUAAUCCUUGCAUUUUUUUCCAAUUACUUUCGUAAAAAAUAGCAUAGCUCUUAAAUAUAUGACAUAAGAAUUUUCAAAAUCAUGGAUAGUGCUUAUUAAUUAACAAUUGUAAGAUAAAUGAAAUUUGUUGCAUAUGAACAAAUAAGACACAUGAAAGUGACUAUGACUACUGUUAACUAUUUCUCCUUAAAAAAAAUAAUGAUAAACAUCAUAACAAAACAGUCUCCCUAAAAAAACUCAUAAACAUCAUAACACCAUCAUAGUAUGAUUAAUCAGAAGAACCAAAGACAGUUUCCAUUAUGACUGCUUUGCGUGCUUUGGGUGGACACUGAAGAAUCAUUCUAAGUAUGUCUACAUCUUUCAUGACAACACGAUAUAUCUUAGGCAAUUAAUUUGGGUCACAUCCACACUCCUCUAAUAAAUUCCAAGUCUCUUCUCCUGAAAUUGAAGGCAACUCGUGUUUAUGACGUUCUCUCGUUAUUUCAUUUCCUUCCCGUAUUGCAGCAUUUCCUUCUCUGAGUGCCUCUGCAACCACUUUCAUUGACUCUUUAAGUUCAAUAAUAUCAUUGUAUGUCUCUUUAUUCUUAGCCACUUUCAAUCUCUUCCUUUUUCCACCACUUGCCAUGGUUGAAGGAUCAUAUGAUUGUGUUUCAGGUAAAGUAAAGUCAUAAUCAGGAGCAUCAAAGCUCUCCAAAGUUACCUCAUUCCGAGCAACACGGUCAUCAAUAUCUUGAAUAGUUUCAACAAAAUCUUCCUCAGUGAUCGAUGCCCCUCGUUUUCUGGUCUAUUUAAAAGUUCCAGAUUCAUCUCCAUCAGCUCGGUUAGGCCCAUGAAGUAUUGAUAUCUUUUUAUAGUUUGGAAAUGAAUCAACUCUCCAAUGUGCUGCUUUUGGUUUCGACUGAAAAGUAAGUUUGACACAAGUUGUAAAAUUUUUGAUCAAUCAAAAAAUAUUUCAAAAUACAAGAUUUACAAAAUUUACCUCAAUUAGAGCAACCCAAACUGGUUCUUCCGCAUCCCAUAACUGUGUAGUUGAAUUCCAAGAAAACCCACUCAUACCACCUUUAAAAAUUUCGUGAUACUCACUGUAGUUUCUUUUCAAAGUUUUCCAACGAUUUUGUAUCUUCACCUUAUCAAUUUGGUCACCAAACAAUCUCACGAGUUCAUCUGUAACAUUGUUAUAUGCUAUUGACGUAAAGGUACCGUUAACUUUGUUACCGUUUUCAAAUUCUUGCAUGAGAGCAUCAACAAGAGCAUCAUCCAUGGCUUUAUUCCAGGUCAAAGACCCAGAAUUACCAUUGUUGGUUGACAAUUGCUUUUUCGAUGUCAUAAUCUAUAAAAAUGGUCAAUUAUAACAUAACUACAUUAAUAAAUAUAAUUAACAUGAAGUUUCAAUAUCAUUCACUUGACAUCAAUUUCAAAUAUACAUUUAGUCCAAACACACACAUAUAUAAAAAACACCAUAAUUUAAUAAAUUCAGUACUACUUCAUCAAAGAAAAACCUAACUCAAAAUAAUAAUAUAAAUUGCAAUGUAAUCCAUUUAGGUUUGACCAUUAUUUUCAUAAUUUGACCACAUUUGAUGCGCUGCACCAUUUUUUAUAAUUCCACCUUGAACAAAUUCAUCCAUAUCACUUCUUGAUGCCUCAUGAUUGUCAUGGGAUACAUUUUGAUUUGCAAGUUCGGCAUCUACUUCAGCUAUAAGGUCUUCAUUUGGUUCUGCGCUCAUUAGAUAAUUGUGAAGAAUGCAACAUGCAAAAAUGAUUAAUUUCUGAGCUUUGACUCCAUAAGCGGGUUCUGUUGAAUUUGAUAAAAUCUCAAAUCUUUUUUUUAAUACACCAAAGGCUCUUUCAAUUGCAUUUCGUAAAGACGCAUGCCGAAGAUUAAACAAUUCUUUAUAAUUUAGGGGUGGAUUUCUUGCCGAAAAUUCUUUCAAGUGAUACCGAACUCCUCUAUAAGGCGUAAUAAGUCCACUUGUCAACAUGAAACCAGCAUCAACUAGAUAAUAUUUUCCUAUAGUAAAGGUAAAUAAUAAAUGUGAUAGUUUGAAGUAUAUAAUAUAAGUAGUUAUAACUUUAUGUUGAUUCUUAUAUUACCUUGAGGAAUUUUAAGUUUAUCUUCUCGUGUUAAUGCAUUCUUUAUUAUUCUUGAGUCAAAGGCGGAGCCUUCCCAUCCCGCAAGCACAUACGUGAACUUUAAAUCAAAAGUGCACGCUGCUAAAACAUUUUGUGUUGGAUACUCUUUCCUACCACGAUAAUGAGGGGCGUCUUUUGCAGAUACCUUGACUCGUAUAUGUGUUCCAUCUAUAGCACCAACACAAUCCUGACACAAUAUAGUAUUUUUCUAUCAAUAUAUAUAUAUAUAUAUAUAUAUAUAUAUAUAUAUAUAUAAUUUAUUCAAGUCUUGCUAAUAUUUUAUUAAUAUAAAAAUGUACCUUAAAAUAUGGGUAGAAUCUAGUGCUACUAGAAAUUUCCAAGGGGAUCGUUGAUCCAUCAGGUUGUACAAUAAACUUUUCUUCCAAUUCAAGAAUAGCUUUCAAAACUUGAUGGAGAUGACGGCUAAUUGUCUCACCCGAACGACGAAACCAAAAGUUGACUUCACGAUUUUUAGCAUUAUGGGUUAGUAUGUAAAGUGAUUUUGCAACUUGUUCUUCCACACUUGACCAUCUUGUAGGUUGUAAGCCCCCUUCUCUUUCUAACAUAUCGCAUAACUUUAAAAAAGUUUGAGGACCCAUUCUUAUUAUAUUUCUACUAGUUUCACUAUUUUUAAGUCGAUACAUUACUUCUUCACGCACCCUUUCUCUCUGAGAGCUCAUACUAUAACUUAUUUUUUUUUAUUUACGAGAGAUUCGAAUAUAACAAAAGACAACAGCACACAUAAGCUGAGCUGUCAUACCCCAAAUUUUGACCUAAGGUUCCACUGACACACGUCUCCGAACUCGGACCAGACUCACAUUUCAGUGAAAAAUUCGGCAGGGAGGUAUUUUGAAAUACCUCAUAAAAUUCCGAAUCGGGCCCUCUUCUCUCAGUCUAAAAUUUAUUUCCAUCUUUUAAAUUUUUAUUUUAACUUUAGUCUAAAUUUAGAUUAAAUUUCUUUUAUUCCCAUUUUAAAUUUUCCUUUUUAUCCUUUUUAAAACUAAAAAUAUAGACAUUAUCCUUUUAUUAUUAAUUUUUCUUUUUAUUAAAUCCCAAAAUUGUCCAAAGUCCCAAAAAUGUCCAUGAGUCCCAAGAACAGUCCAGGUUCAUGCGUAACAAAUCACAAACCAUCAUCCUCAUCCUCAUCCAGGCUGUUACACGCCUAUCUCCGUCUCAAUCUCCUAAAAUCUGCAAUUUUUGUAACGAAUCCUUGUCCCCAAACAGCACUAUAAAUACAUAACCUGCAUAACAAAGAAAACAACAACAGAACACGGGAACAACAAAAAACAGAGGCAUCGCACGGAACCGCAGUACGGCAAUACAACAAACACAUCGCACAGAACCGCGACACCAACAACACGGCAACACAACAGAAACCAGAGAAGCACGCACAGAAACGGAAACACGGCCGCGCGCAACACAACACACACACGCAAACACAGAGGCGCGCACGCACAAAAGGGAACCGCGCAACACAACACACGCGCACACACACAGGAGCGACACGCCCCCAAGCACGCAGCAGCGCAAGCCAGCACCACAACAAAACCGGAUCUACAAAAAAAACAAAAAAAGGUAUAGAUUUCUUUCUUUUUUUUUAGAUCUAGGCGUUUGGGUAAAGGUUUUGGGAAUUUGAAGGCUAAAGGUGAACAGAGGGAGGGAAGUAGAAGAGAAAGAGCGAAAAAAAAAAUAAAAAAGGGAGCUUUUUAGCUCCGGCACGGCGGCGCAGCCGCGAUGGCUCGCCGGCCACCGCGCCGGAAUUCCCCCGGCCACCCAUCUCCAACCGGAGAAAAAGAGAGAGAACAGAGAGUUUAGAGAGAGAAGGAGAAGAAGAGAGAGAAGGAGGGGAAGGAAAUGAAGAAAUUUAGGGUUUACAACCCUUAUAUACUCUUCAAACCGGGUCGCCCAUGACCCAUAACCCGCGACCCGGUUCGUUUACUUAAAGCCCAAUUCUUUUUUUUUUUUUUUGCUUUCUGCACACCCCUGCUUACUAUUGCACCCCACCUUGUGUUUGGACCCUUUUUUUUAUUUUUUUUUAUUCCUUUUCGUAUUUGUUUAUUUAUUUUUAGCAUUUUAAUUUUUAUUGCAGACCUUAGAAUGUAAAUAGGCUUUUUAUGUAAUAGUCAUAGAUUUUAUAUUUCUAACUUAGGGUAGCCGCGUUUUUAUUCUUUAUGCUCCGUUAGUUUAUAUAUUCAAAAAUCACAAAACAUGCAAAUAACCAAAAAUCACAAAAAACAUUUUUCAUAAUAAACCUUGAUCCUAAAUCAAGCGAUCGUCCUUUUUUUCAUUUUAUUUUCUUAAUCAAAUAUCAAUCAAUUUAAUCAUACUUCGAGUUAUCUUUUCUUAAAAUAAAAAACACAAACAAAUUCUUAUUUGCCACUUGGCUUUUAUCUUUAAAACCUUUCUCAAAAAAACUAAUAAAAAACACAAAACCAAUCAAACGUCGUUUUCUACCCCGAACUACGAGGUUUUGAUCCCUCACGGGUACGUAGGCAGAGGACCAUGUCCUUCCAAACAAUAAAAAAUGUAGAUAAAUUAGGUCUCACUUUCUUUUUCUUUUAAUCAUCACAUUAACUUCUUUUUCAAAAGCAAGCAAGUUAUAGCACAUUAAAUUAAAUAAAACCAAGAGGUUCCCGUAGAGUACUACGGACAUAAAGGGUGCUAACACCUUCCCUUUAUGUAACUAACCCCCGAACCCUAAAUCUUUUCAAAUAGGGGUAGUUUGAACUUUUUUCCCCUUUUCUUAAUAAAAUUAAAUGUUCAGUCGUGAAAUAAAUUAGUGAGUCAAAAGCUAAUCAAAUAGCCUUGAUCUCCAAAAAAUGACGCGACAGAAAUGGCGACUUCACUGGGGACCCCCCUAAGAGGGUUGAGCCUAACUUGGCUUUAUUUAAUUCUUUGUGCUAUAACUUGCUUAAAACAAAAAAAACAAAAAAAUAAAGAUGGAAAUAAAUUGUAUAUAUCUUUUAUCUUCUCUCUUUCUUCCUUUCUUUUUAAAUAUGAGUGGUGAGAUAAAGCCCUACACCCGGGCUUGAGAGAAACAUAAGAUAGGACGGUGGUAUAACCAAAGUGCCUUUCCGAGAGUCAAGUCUCGUGUUUAGGUUCAUGUGGUACAACCCCACUCAAUGGAGGAAUCUUGAAAGUAAUCUAUGUUGGCAUGAAUAGUCGUGUUGGCAUUAUAUUUUCAAGUGACCGUCGAAGUUGAGGACCUUUAGUUACCCUUAACCCAUCUUGGCCUUUUUAGGACGUAGUGCGGUGGCUAAUCAAGAGUAGUCUUGAAUUAGUUGAUACGCGAUACUACACUCAAAUGAAACUUUCCUACGGAUAUUAUUGGAUCAAGAGUAGUCAAGAAUUAGUUGAUGACUUUGGGAACUGGAUAGAACCCGUGAUACAGAUACAAAUGAAACCAUAGUCCUUACCAAAUAGGGGUUAUUACCUUUAAACUCCAACAUGAUGAGCUUAACCUACGCAUAACCAUGCAUACAUGCAUUCAUUCAUAAUUUUUAUCUUUUUUUUCAUCAAAAAAUAUCGAAGGGCUUAUACUUGUUUUUGUAAAUAUCAUAGGCAUGGAAAGAAGAAAUACUAGGAAGUUUACAUUCAGGAAAUUGGAUCUAGAGAACUUAAAGAAGCUUGCAUUUGAAGUAACUAGCUUGGAGAAUUUUUGUGAUCGUCAUGGGAAGUUGCUUGGUGUCCUCUGGACAAAUAUCGAUAAGGGGUGCUUGGAGACCUUGGUCCAAUUCUAUGACCCUGCUUACCACUGUUUCACCUUUCCCGACUACCAGCUUAUGCCUACCCUCGAAGAAUACUCUCACUUAAUUGGCCUACCCGUACUUGAUAAGGUACCUUUCACUGGCUUAGAACCCUUUCCCAAAGCUGCCACCAUUGCAAAUGCCCUCCAUCUCAAAACCUCCCUCAUAAAAGAAAAACUUACCCUAAAAGGGAAUCUCCCAAGCUUACCUACUAAAUUUCUUUACCAACAAGCCUCCGAUUUCUCCAAAACAAACAAUGUUGAGGCCUUCUAUUCUAUCCUAGCUUUACUCAUCUAUGGCCUAGUAUUAUUCCCAAAUAUUGAUAACUACGUUGACAUCCAUGCCAUCCAAAUUUUCCUCACAAAGAACCCAGUCCCCACAUUGUUAGCUGAUAUAUAUCAUUCCAUUCACGAUCGAACCCAAGUAGGUCGUGGAGCCAUCCUUGGUUGCGCACCCUUACUAUACAAAUGGUUUACCUCUCACUUACCUCAGACCCACUCCUUUCAAGCCAACCCAGAAAAUCUCUCCUGGCCCAAAAGAAUCAUGUCCCUUACCCCAUCCGACAUAACCUGGUACCGUGCCACUUGUAACUUCACGAACAUCAUUGUCGGUUGUGGAGAAUACUCAAAUGUACCCCUUCUCGGUACGCAAGGAGGAAUCAGCUACAAUCCUAUCCUUGCCAAACGUCAGUUCGGAUGUCCAAUGGAAGCUAAGCCAGAUAACAUCUACUUACAGGGUGAAUUCUACUUCAACCAUGAAGAUCCCUCAAACAAAAGAGGGAGAUUUGUCCAAGCAUGGCAUGCCAUUCGCACACUCAAUAGAAGCCAGUUGGCGAGGAGAUCAGACUCUUUACAGGGGUCUUACACUCAAUGGGUCAUCAAUAGAGCUUCCGAUCUGGUCUUACCAUAUCAUUUGCCAAGGUACCUAUCUUCAACAACCCCAGCUCCGGCUUUACCCUUGGCCCCCGCAACUGUGGAGGAAUGUCAAGAGAAGUUGGCCCGAUCGGAAUAUGUGGGUGCUACUUGGAAGAGGAAAUAUGAUGAAGCUAUGCUCAAGAUGGAGACUAUGAGUGGUGAGAUAGAGCAACGAGAGCAUGAGGUUCACAAGUUGAAACGACAAAUAGUAAAAAAGAAUGUUCAGAUCCGAGCUCAGAGCACAAGGCUAUCACAGUUUAUCAACGCAGGGGAGCGUUGGGAGUUCUUCAAAGAUGCACAUUCAGAUUCUGAUGAAUAGUCUACUUCAAAGAGCUUGAGAGUUCCCAGUUUUUCUUUUAUUUUUGUUUUUAGCUUUAAGUUAGAUAUUUAUCUUAUUUUUUUGCAAAGUCUAUCCCUUGGCUUCGUUGUUUAGAAAGGGAAUUAUCUUAUAGUAUGCGAAUUAUUCAAUGGAACUCUCAACUAUGAUAUUUACAAAAAUACUUUCAUAAGUCCUUCGAUAAAAAAAAUAUACGUCUAUUUUUGCAUAAACAUCAUACAUCAUCCUGCAUUUCAUAAUCUCAAAUCAAAGUCUCACACAAACUUCCUUUUCCAGAAAAAGGGUCAACUCGUUUCAUACGGUGGCCCCACGUAUCAUCUACAAGUCAACCCGUACUCACUACACUCGAGCAAACGUAAAGAAGAAGAUGGAUUAUCUUGAGCAGGAAAAUCGGGUAGUUCGUGAAGAAAUGACAGCCAUGCAGACUAGGAUGGACGAGAUGGCUGAAUUAAUAAAAACAAUGGCGGAAGCUCAGACUCAAGCUCAAGCACAGAUUCAAGCACAAGCGCAAGCAUUGGCACAAGCGCAAACUCAAGCUCAGGCCAUAACAGAAGCGCAGGCCCGAUCACAAGCACCUCCACCUCCUCCUGUCAGAACUCAGGCCGAGGCAUCUUCUUCUUGGACACUAUGUGCUGACACUCCAACGCAGUCCGCUCCGCAACGUUCCACGCCUUGGUUUCCACCUUUCACUGCUGGGGAGAUAUUUCGUCCUAUCACUUGUGAAGCUCAGAUGCCCACUCACCAGUACACGGCUCAAGUACCCCUACCUGCCAUGAGGGUCACUCCAGCCACCAUGACCUACUCAGCACCUGUGAUACAUACAAUCCCGCAAACUGAAGAGCCUAUCUUUCAUUCAGGGAAUGCAGAGGCUUACGAGGAAGUAAGCGACCUACGAGAAAAGUAUGACGAACUACGCCGAGACAUGAAAGCCCUCCGUGAAAAAGGGAAAUUUGGGAAGACUGCGUACGAUCUCUGUUUGGUACCGAGUGUGCAGGUACCUCACAAAUUCAAGAUUCCAGACUUCGAGAAAUACAAAGGGAGUUCUUGCCCUGAGGAACAUCUAAAAAUGUAUGUGAGAAGGAUGCCUGCGUAUGCCCAAGAUGAUCAGAUUCUUAUUUACUACUUCCAAGAAAGCUUGACCGGCCCUGCUUCAAAGUGGUACACAAACCUAGACAAAACAAGGGUUCAAACUUUCCGUGACCUUUGCGAAGCUUUCGUGGAACAAUACAGUUACAAUGUAGACAUGACUCCGGACCGAAGUGAUCUCCAAGCCAUGACUCAGGGAGAUAAAGAGACGUUCAAAGAGUAUGCCCAACGGUGGAGAGACACCGCUGCCCAAGUCAGCCCACGAAUUGAGGAGAAAGAGAUGACCAAGCUCUUCCUAAAAACUUUGAAUCAUUUUUAUUACAAAAAGAUGGUCGGGAGUACACCAAAGAGCUUCGCGGAGAUGGUUGGUAUGGGAGUACAGUUAGAAGAAGGAGUCCGAGAAGGACGCUUAGUAAAGAAUACAACUCCUGCCAGUGGGACCAAGAAGACCGGGAACCAUUUCCCGAGGAAGAAAGAACAAGAAGUCGGUAUGGUGACUCAUGGAGGGCCUCAACAAACUUAUCCAGCCUAUCAACACAUUGCUGCCAUCACACCCACCUCUCACCCUUUUCAACAAACAAAUAACCAUCCUCAAAUACCACAAUAUCCUCAAAUACCACAAUAUCCUCAAUUCCCACAAAAUCCUUCACCACAAAAUGUCCAACCACAAAAUGUCCAACAACAAAAUUUCCAACAACAACCAUACCAACAACAACCAUACCAAUACACUCAACAAAAUUUCCAACAACAACCUUAUCAACAACGCCCACAACAACCUCGACCACCAAGAAUGCCGAUUAACCCAAUACCAGUCACCUAUGCAGAAUUACUUCCCGGCUUACUCAAGAAAAACCUUGUCCAAACUAGAACAGCUCCUCCUAUCCCAGAAAAACUACCAUCUUGGUAUAGACUUGACCAGACUUGUGACUUCCAUGAAGGGGGCCGUGGCCAUAACAUUGAAACUUGUUAUGCCUUUAAAAGCACAGUGCAGAGGCUGAUCAAUGAUGGAAAAAUAACAUUCACAGACUCGGCGCCAAAUGUUCAAACAAACCCGUUGCCAAAUCAUGGUGCCGCAACAGUCAACAUGAUCGAAGAUUGUCAAAAGACUCGUCCCAUUCAGAAUGUUCAACAUAUCAGAACACCUUUGGUUCCGUUACAUGCCAAGUUAUGCAAAGUCGACCUUUUUGAGCAUGAUCAUGAUCUCUGUGAAAUAUGCCUUAUGAACUCCGGAGGAUGUCAGAAAGUAAGAAAUGAUAUUCAAGGGCUCCUGGACCGAGGAGAGCUUGUGGUCGAAAGGAAGUGUGAUGAUGUGUGUGUAAUAACUCCUGAAGGGCCUUUGGAGGUAUUUUAUGACAGUCGAAAGUCAACUAUCACCCCUCUGGUGAUCUGCUUACCGGGUCCACUGCCAUAUGCUUCUGAAAAAGCCAUUCCAUACAAAUACAAUGCCACCAUGAUUGAAGAGGGUCGUGAGGUUCCAAUACCGCCUUUGUCUAGUGUGGAUAAUAUUGUUGAAGACAGUAGAGUUCUGAGAAAUGGGCGCGUUGUUCCCAUAGUGUUCCCAAAGAAGAUUGAUGCUACAAUAAACAAGGAGGUUCAGACUAAAGAUGCUGGUAUCGCCAAAGAAGUGGAUCAACCCAAUGGGGCUGGUACAAGUGCAGAGUUUGAUGAAAUUCUCAAGUUAAUAAAGAAGAGCGAGUACAAGGUCGUUGACCAACUGAUGCAGACUCCAUCCAAAAUAUCCAUAAUGUCUUUAUUACUAAAUUCUGAGGCCCAUAAAGAUGCAUUAAUGAAGGUCUUAGAACAAGCUUUUGUGGAUUAUGAUGUAACGGUGGGUCAGUUUGGCGGAAUAGUAGGGAACAUCACUGCAUGCAACAACUUGAGUUUCAGUGAUGAAGAGCUCCCAGCAGAAGGAAGGACCCACAAUCGGGCGCUGCAUAUAUCUGUGAACUGUAAAACCGAUGCUUUGUCAAAAGUGCUGGUGGAUACUGGAUCAUCUUUGAAUGUAUUGUCCAAAACAACUUAUACCCAACUCGCUUACCAAGACGCACCUUUGAGACGAAGUGGGGUAAUGGUGAAAGCUUUUGAUGGCUCGAGGAAGGAUGUCCUUGGUGAGGUGGUUCUACCUAUCACAGUUGGGCCACAAGUUUUUCAAGUUAAUUUUCAAGUCAUGGACAUUCAAGCUUCAUAUAGUUGCUUACUGGGUCGACCCUGGAUUCACGAGGCAGGGGCUGUCACAUCCACGCUGCAUCAAAAGCUGAAGUUUGUAAAGAAUGGGAAGCUAGUAACUGUAAACGGUGAAGAGGCUUUAUUGGUGAGUCAUUUGUCAUCUUUCUCUUUCAUUGGGGCAGACGAUGUCGAAGGGACACCUUUUCAAGGGUUUACUAUAGAAGAUAAGAAUACCAAGAAGAAUGAAGCCUCUAUCUCGUCUCUGAAAGAUGCUCAGAAGGUCAUACAAGCAGGAGGGUCCACAAGCUGGGGAAAGUUGAUAGAGCUUCCAGAAAACAAGCACCGAGAAGGAUUGGGUUUCUUCCCAUCUACUGGUUUGUCCACAGCGAAGAAGGGCACUUUCCACAGUUCGGGCUUUAUCCAUGCGAUCAUUGAAGAUGGUCCUGAAAGCGUGCCACGAGGUUUUAUAACGCCAGGAGUAUCCAGCCACAAUUGGGUUGCUGUAGAUGUUCCUUUUGUUGCUCACUUGUCCAAGUAAUGCAUUUGUCUAGUUUAUGCUUUUCUUUUCAAAAAAAAAAAACAAAACAUCCUUUCGCCCCGCCCCAAGCGAAGGUGAAUUUAUCUAGGGCUUUUUAUUUCAAGAAAUUAUCAUCAAUAAAAUAAAAAUGUCGUUUUUUUCCCGAUGUUUUGUCUCAUUUUCUUCUAUGCUUUUCUGAAAAGUGGUAAUACAAAAAACCCAAUAUAAAUUUUCAAAAAAAUCUGCAUGUAUCUUUUUCUAAAAAAAUCAUCCAUCACAUGUGCAGAUUAGAAAUCAACGAACCCGUUGAACAACAUAAUCCUAUGAUCUCUCCCAACUUUGAGUUCCCUGUCUAUGAGGCGGAGGAAGAAGAGAAUGAAGAGAUCCCUGACGAAAUCUCUCAACUACUCGAACAAGAGAGGAAGACCAUUCAGCCUUAUGGGGACGAACUAGAAUUGAUUAAUUUGGGCACCAAAGAAGACAAGAAAGAAAUCAAGGUUGGGGCAUCGCUCGAAACAAGUGUUAAAAAGCAAGUGAUAGAGCUCCUCAAAGAAUAUGUUGAUGUGUUUGCCUGGUCCUACCAAGAUAUGCCAGGUCUAGACACUGAUAUUGUGGUACAUCACCUACCUUUGAAACCUGAAUGUCCGCCAGUCAAACAAAAGUUGAGAAGAACACGUCCUGACAUGGCUCUCAAAAUCAAAGAAGAGGUACAGAAACAGAUCGACGCUGGUUUCCUCAUCACAUCAAAUUACCCCCAAUGGUUAGCUAACAUAGUGCCUGUUCCAAAGAAAGAUGGUAAGGUCAGAAUGUGUGUUGACUACCGUGAUUUAAACAAAGCUAGCCCGAAAGACGACUUUCCUUUACCUUAUAUUGACGUGUUGGUUGACAGUACUGCCAAGUCUAAAGUCUUCUCAUUCAUGGAUGGAUUCUCCGGUUAUAAUCAAAUCAAGAUGGCACCCGAAGAUAGAGAGAAAACAUCAUUUAUUACACCUUGGGGCACUUUUUGCUACAAAGUAAUGUCGUUCGGUUUAAUCAAUGCAGGAGCUACUUAUCAGAGGGGUAUGACUACUCUUUUCCACGAUAUGAUACAUAAAGAGAUUGAGGUCUAUGUGGAUGAUAUGAUAGUCAAGUCGAUUACUGAAGAAGACCAUGUCAAGUAUCUACAGAAGAUGUUCCAGCGCCUGAGGAAGUACAAACUUCGUCUAAAUCCCAACAAAUGCACUUUUGGUGUCAGAUCCGGAAAGCUUCUAGGUUUCAUUGUCAGCCAGAAAGGCAUCGAAGUAGACCCUGACAAAGUCAAAGCCAUCAGAGAGAUGCCUGCUCCGAGAACAGAAAAAGAAGUAAGAGGUUUUCUUGGACGACUAAAUUACAUCUCCCGGUUCAUUUCUCAUAUGACUGCAACUUGUGGGCCGAUAUUCAAACUACUCCGCAAAGAACAAGGUAUUGUGUGGACCGAAGAUUGCCAGAAGGCUUUUGACAGCAUAAAGAAGUACUUGCUAGAACCACCGAUUCUCAUCCCUCCAGUUGAAGGAAGACCUUUGAUCAUGUACCUAACAGUGUUAGAAAAUUCCAUGGGUUGUGUGCUCGGACAACAAGAUGAAACCGGAAGAAAAGAGCACGCCAUUUAUUAUUUAAGCAAGAAGUUUACUGAAUGUGAAUCUCGCUACUCCAUGCUCGAGAAGACGUGUUGUGCUCUAGCCUGGGCUGCCAAACGCCUCCGUCAUUAUAUGAUUAAUCACACUACGUGGCUGGUAUCUAAAAUGGAUCCAAUCAAGUACAUAUUUGAGAAGCCCGCUUUGACAGGAAGGAUUGCACGGUGGCAGAUGCUACUAUCUGAAUAUGAUAUCGAGUACCGUUCCCAGAAGGCAAUUAAAGGCAGUAUUCUUGCUGAUCACUUAGCUCACCAACCACUUGAAGACUAUCGACAUAUCAAGUUUGACUUUCCUGAUGAAGAGAUUAUGUAUCUAAAGAUGAAAGAUUGUGACGAGCCACUAUUCGGAGAAGGACCUGAUCCAGAUUCAGUGUGGGGUUUAAUAUUUGAUGGGGCUGUCAAUGUAUACGGCAACGGCAUAGGGGCAGUACUCCUUACUCCUAAGGGUGCUCACAUCCCUUUCACAGCAAGACUCCGGUUUGACUGCACGAACAACAUCGCUGAAUAUGAAGCCUGCAUCAUGGGUAUUGAAGAAGCCAUUGAUCUAAGAAUCAAGAACAUCGAAAUAUAUGGAGAUUCAGCUCUUGUAAUCAACCAGAUCAAAGGAAAAUGGGAAACUCUUCACGCAGGACUAAUACCUUAUCGAGACUAUGCAAGACGUUUAUUGACCUUCUUCAACAAAGUGGAAUUACAUCAUAUCCCUCGGGAUGAGAAUCAGAUGGCUGAUGCCUUGGCUACUUUGUCUUCAAUGAUCAAGGUGAAUCAUCACAAUGACGUGCCACUAAUCAGUGUCAAAUUCCUUGAUAGACCCGCUUAUGUGUUUGCCGCUGAAGCAGUUUUCGACAAUAAACCCUGGUUUCAUGAUAUUAAGGUGUUUCUCCAAACUCGAGAGUAUCCUCCUGGAGCAUCCAACAAAGAUAAGAAGACUCUCAGAAGAUUAUCUAGUAAUUUCUUCCUGAAUGGGGAUAUCUUGUACAAAAGAAACUUUGACACGGUCUUGCUCAGAUGUGUAGACAAAUAUGAAGCUGAUUUAUUGAUACAUGAAAUACACGAAGGAUCCUUCGGAAUUCAUCCUAAUGGGCACACAAUGGCUAAAAAGAUAUUGCAAGCAGGCUACUACUGGAUGACAAUGGAAUCAGAUUGCUACAAGCAUACCAGAAAGUGUCACAAGUGUCAGAUAUACGCCGACAAGAUUCAUAUGCCGCCGACUACACUCAAUUUACUUUCCUCUCCGUGGCCUUUCUCUAUGUGGGGCAUUGACAUGAUCGGAAGGAUUGAGCCCAAAGCUUCAAAUGGACACCGUUUUAUCCUAGUGGCUAUUGACUACUUCACUAAGUGGGUUGAGGCCGCAUCGUAUGCCAAUGUGACCAAACAAGUGGUGGUCAAAUUUAUCAAGAAUCAUAUCAUUUGUCGUUACGGCAUCCCCAACCGGAUCAUCACCGACAACGGAACAAAUCUAAACAACAAGAUGAUGAAAGAAUUGUGUGAUGAUUUCAAGAUCGAGCACCAUAACUCUUCACCUUACAGACCCCAAAUGAAUGGUGCUGUCGAAGCUGCAAAUAAGAAUAUAAAGAGGAUUGUCCAGAAGAUGGUGGUGACUUAUAAAGAUUGGCAUGAAAUGCUUCCCUUUGCAUUACAUGGAUAUCGUACUUCUAUACGCACAUCAACAGGGGCAACCCCUUUCUCCCUGGUAUAUGGUACGGAGGCAGUACUUCCUGUAGAAGUCGAAAUUCCAUCAUUGAGAGUCCUAAUGGAGGCUGACUUAUCAGAAGCUGAAUGGGUUCAGAAUAGAUACGACCAGUUGAAUCUAAUUGAAGAAAAGCGCAUGACGGCCCUAUGUCACGGACAAUUAUAUCAAAAAAGGAUGAAACAGGCCUUUGACAAGAAAGUUCGUCCCCGUAAGUUUAAAGAAGGUGAUCUUGUGCUCAAAAAGAUUUUCUCUUUCCAACCAGACUCCCGAGGCAAGUGGGCUCCUAAUUAUGAAGGUCCGUAUGUUGUUAAAAGAGCCUUCUCAGGUGGUGCCAUGACUCUACAAACCAUGGACGGUGAAGAACUNNNNNNNNNNNNNNNNNNNNNNNNNNNNNNNNNNNNNNNNNNNNNNNNNNNNNNNNNNNNNNNNNNNNNNNNNNNNNNNNNNNNNNNNNNNNNNNNNNNNAAAAAAAAAAAAAAAAGAGACAAAGUAACUGCAUCCAGUCGAACACAGAUACACUUGGGGCAUACCUGAUAUCAAAAGUAUUCGAGCCACAAGAUAACGGAUUUCAAAGUUGUUAGAGAACGAUAGAGUUAUGAAGUUCAACGUACCUUUCCAUUUUAAAUUACCAUUUCUUUUCAAACUUUGUAAAGAACUCCAUGAAGUCAUGCCAUUGGCAUAGCGUCAUUCGAUCAAUAAAUUUUGAGCCUUUACCUUUUUUUGAUUCCCAUUUGCUUUGUUUCACGAAUUUUUCCUCUUUUAUUGAUGAUAAUAUUUUGAAACAGAUUUCUAAAACAUUAUAUAAUAAAAAGCAUAAACAAAUAGAUACAGCUUGGCACUCGGGAGUAAAAGAAGCAUAUAUCAACUCAAGAGAGGUUAGAUCCUGCUAAAAGCGUGGCUCGACACUAAGGAAAGUCUCUGAAUAAACAAAUACAAAAAUAAUACAAAGAAGCUCGCUAAGUUGAAAACCUGAAAAGGCGACUUAGGCAACAGAGAGCGUCCCGGUGGACUGAAAACCCGAAAGGGCGGUCCAGGCAAAAAUUAGGGGCAAAACAAAAAUAGUCCCGGUGGACUGAAAACCCGAAAGGGCGGUCCAGGCAAAAAUUAGGGGCAAAACAAAAAUAUUCCCGGUGGACCGAAAACCCGAAAGGGCGGUCCAGGCAAAAAUUAGGGAUUUUUUUUUCAAAUAAAACAAAAGGUAUGACUGCGGAAGCAUACCAAUGGAAGGACACUCUAUGCCGGUUUACAAAUGGCGACUUCUUCCAGACUUCUUUCAUCAACAAUGGGCUCACCCCCAGGAGGCAUCAGUGGCUACCUAGUGCCAGGUUCUUACACCAUCAACGGCUCGAUUUGCUCACAAUAAUAUCAUCUCCAAGGAAGGUUGCCAGGUGUUUGUAAUGCAAUGUCGGUCCGACUCCCAUCUUACCUGCCUUGUCUCAGUUCAUCGAUUCACGUGUCAUGUACAUUCAUAUAUCCAUACAUUCAUGCAAUCAUGCAUUCACCAAUAUUUUCACAUAAUCAUACGUUUACGCGUACACGACAUAUGCAUAACAUCAAUUCACACAUAAUUGCAUCAGUCAAAGCUCACCAUUGCGUCAAGCCGCAAGUUUCUACGAGUAAAACAUCUCCCGUUUUAUCUUCCAUAUUUCAAAGGUGCCAUGCCCGGUGAAAAGCCGUGCUAAGUCAUGUCACUAAUCAAUGCCAAUUUCAACUUUAGUUUCGAAGUAUCAUCCCCGGCGGAAAGCCGUACUGGUCACAACACUAGUUAAACUCGAUGUCAACUUCAAACUCCAGGUAUCAUCCCCAGCGUAGCUGUUCUAGAGAUGUCACCAAUCCAAACUUUUCAAGCGACCGAUUCCAACAAACGAAUAGUCUAUGCCAAUGUUUUUUACCUUCCGAGCAACUAGUUCCAACAAACGAACAACUCAUGUCAAUCUUUUAUCUUUAUGCCCAGCGACCGAUUCCAACAAACGAAUAGCCUAUGCCAAUGUUUUUUACCUUCCGAGCAACUAGUUCCAACAAACGAACAACUCAUGUCAAUCUUUUACCUUUAUGCUCAGCGACCAGUUCCAACCAACGAACAGCCUGUAACAAGUGGCCAAUUUCAACCAACAAUUAGCUUGUAUCCUUCUAUUAUUUCAUUUUCAAAACCAAGUCCACAAAUGGACAUUGGAGUCUGAACCAUUUGCGCUUUGUUUCGAGAUAUCGAGACAAUGAGGAACAACCAUUUUCCCCAGUGAAACCAGAUUCCCCAGUAAAGUCGGAUCCCUUUCUUCGAAGAAUUCGGGUAUCCUAGUGUCUUUUUAUUCCAGUCGAGCCGUCACUGUCAUCAUGCAUUCAUAAUUAAAUCAUGAGCAUUCAUAAACCUCUUAGGUCAAAAUUGGUGCACUUUUGUAUUUAAGUCUCUUCGGCUCGUCGAGUCAAAGAUUUUACCUUCGAAUCUCUGAGCGAAGAAACUUAAAUAGGGGCAUCUGUCAUACCCCAAAUUUUGACCUAAGGUUCCACUGACACACGUCUCCGAACUCGGACCAGACUCACAUUUCAGUGAAAAAUUCGGCAGGGAUGUAUUUUGAAAUACCUCAUAAAAUUCCGAAUCGGGCCCUCUUCUCUCAGUCUAAAAUUUAUUUCCAUCUUUUAAAUUUUUAUUUUAACUUUAGUCUAAAUUUAGAUUAAAUUUCUUUUAUUCCCAUUUUAAAUUUUCCUUUUUAUCCUUUUUAAAACUAAAAAUAUAGACAUUAUCCUUUUAUUAUUAAUUUUUCUUUUUAUUAAAUCCCAAAAUUGUCCAAAGUCCCAAAAAUGUCCAUGAGUCCCAAGAACAGUCCAGGUUCAUGCGUAACAAAUCACAAACCAUCAUCCUCAUCCUCAUCCAGGCUGUUACACGCCUAUCUCCGUCUCAAUCUCCUAAAAUCUGCAAUUUUUGUAACGAAUCCUUGUCCCCAAACAGCACUAUAAAUACAUAACCUGCAUAACAAAGAAAACAACAACAGAACACGGGAACAACAAAAAACAGAGGCAUCGCACGGAACCGCAGUACGGCAAUACAACAAACACAUCGCACAGAACCGCGACACCAACAACACGGCAACACAACAGAAACCAGAGAAGCACGCACAGAAACGGAAACACGGCCGCGCGCAACACAACACACACACGCAAACACAGAGGCGCGCACGCACAAAAGGGAAUCGCGCAACACAACACACGCGCACACACACAGGAGCGACACGCCCCCAAGCACGCAGCAGCGCAAGCCAGCACCACAACAAAACCGGAUCUACAAAAAAAACAAAAAAAGGUAUAGAUUUCUUUCUUUUUUUUUAGAUCUAGGCGUUUGGGUAAAGGUUUUGGGAAUUUGAAGGCUAAAGGUGAACAGAGGGAGGGAAGUAGAAGAGAAAGAGCGAAAAAAAAAAUAAAAAAGGGAGCUUUUUAGCUCCGGCACGGCGGCGCAGCCGCGAUGGCUCGCCGGCCACCGCGCCGGAAUUCCCCCGGCCACCCAUCUCCAACCGGAGAAAAAGAGAGAGAACAGAGAGUUUAGAGAGAGAAGGAGAAGAAGAGAGAGAAGGAGGGGAAGGAAAUGAAGAAAUUUAGGGUUUACAACCCUUAUAUACUCUUCAAACCGGGUCGCCCAUGACCCAUAACCCGUGACCCGGUUCGUUUACUUAAAGCCCAAUUCUUUUUUUUUUUUUUUGCUUUCUGCACACCCCUGCUUACUAUUGCACCCCACCUUGUGUUUGGACCCUUUUUUUUAUUUUUUUUUAUUCCUUUUCGUAUUUGUUUAUUUAUUUUUAGCAUUUUAAUUUUUAUUGCAGACCUUAGAAUGUAAAUAGGCUUUUUAUGUAAUAGUCAUAGAUUUUAUAUUUCUAACUUAGGGUAGCCGCGUUUUUAUUCUUUAUGCUCCGUUAGUUUAUAUAUUCAAAAAUCACAAAACAUGCAAAUAACCAAAAAUCACAAAAAACAUUUUUCAUAAUAAACCUUGAUCCUAAAUCAAGCGAUCGUCCUUUUUUUCAUUUUAUUUUCUUAAUCAAAUAUCAAUCAAUUUAAUCAUACUUCGAGUUAUCUUUUCUUAAAAUAAAAAACACAAACAAAUUCUUAUUUGCCACUUGGCUUUUAUCUUUAAAACCUUUCUCAAAAAAACUAAUAAAAAACACAAAACCAAUCAAACGUCGUUUUCUACCCCGAACUACGAGGUUUUGAUCCCUCACGGGUACGUAGGCAGAGGACCAUGUCCUUCCAAACAAUAAAAAAUGUAGAUAAAUUAGGUCUCACUUUCUUUUUCUUUUAAUCAUCACAUUAACUUCUUUUUCAAAAGCAAGCAAGUUAUAGCACAUUAAAUUAAAUAAAACCAAGAGGUUCCCGUAGAGUACUACGGACAUAAAGGGUGCUAACACCUUCCCUUUAUGUAACUAACCCCCGAACCCUAAAUCUUUUCAAAUAGGGGUAGUUUGAACUUUUUUCCCCUUUUCUUAAUAAAAUUAAAUGUUCAGUCGUGAAAUAAAUUAGUGAGUCAAAAGCUAAUCAAAUAGCCUUGAUCUCCAAAAAAUGACGCGACAUGAGCUAUAGCUCUUCGACGCAAAUCAAACCAUCUAUUGAUAGCAAUUUCCUGAUCUUGAUGAUCCAUCUAAUCGCAUAAAAUUAAUUUUUAGAUUAUAUAACUCUUAUACUACAAUUACAUAUAGACAUGUAAUAAACUACAACAAACAUAUUUAUAUAUAAACGAGGCCAUGAUCAAUAUAUGGAAGAAAAAAAAAUGAAACAAAGCAUAUAGAAAGAAAAGCAGAACGUAAAAAAGAAAAAAAAAAUCAUGAUUAAUGUAUAGAUAUAUGGAAGAUAAAAAAAAUGAAACAAAGCAUAUAGAUUAAUGUACAGAAAAAUAAAGCCAAGAUUUUACACAACAAGACAUGUAGGAUCGGUGAAUUAACAGUGAAAAAAAACACUACUAGGUUGUGAUUAUCCUAUUUUAGCUAGAAGUGAAGAUUUGCAUUUUAUAUAAGCUGUAUCUGAUACUCCAACAACAAUAAGUAUCAAUAAAAAUAAUGCACAGCUUUGAGGAUGGAUAAUGUAGUGUGCCAACAGGAACAAGUUCAAUAGCCAGCAUCAGCCUUUAAAAAAAUAAAAUAAAUGGCCUGCAUGCUUGAGAGAGGUUUUAAGUGGGAACAUGUGAAAUGUAAACAUGUCCUGAGUUUUUACUGUUCGUUUGCCUGUAGGCUGUAGUUUUUACUGUAGGCUUGAGAGAGGUUUUUAGUGAAUUUCAUUUUCAAUUUGAUUUAAUGAUUACGAGUUAUAUUCAGCUAAUCCGAUAAUAGUAAGGUUGUGUAGUGAAAAAAAAUUCUGGUCAAGAUUUUACACAACAAGACAUUGAUAGGUGAAUUAACUGUAAAAAAAAACAAGCAACAACAAGUAUAAUAAGCUGAAUUAAAAUAAAAUAAUAAUAAUAAUAAUAAAACUUCAACGAUUUCAUCAAAAAAAAAAAAAGACUUCAACGAUUUUAAAAGUGAAAAAAAAACAAUACUCUCAAAUGAAUGGAUCAAUACCAUAAGAAAAAACACACUAUGAAACAAACAAGCCACCGUAAGGAUAAAGCAACAAUUUAAACAAUAAAGUUCCAACAACGAUAACGAUUAAACAAGGAUAAUAAAGUAGCGAAUCAAUAACGAUGUAAUUAAUAAUACUACGAUAUAGACAAUGAGAUGAUGAAAUUACUCACAAUUCACUUUGGAGGAAGCCUCAAGCAGUCGUUGACAACAACAAAGUAGUAGUAAGAGCGGUUUGUACAUCUAACAAAUAAGAGUGGUAGAUUAUAUAAUAAUAAAAAUUGUUACAAGGAAAAUAUAACAAAAUAAUAAUAAUAAUUGUUACAAGAAUAAGAUAACCUAAUAAUAAUAAUAAGAUUGUUACAAAAAUAAUAUAAUCUAAUAAUAAUAAAAGUUGUUACAAGGUUAAUAUUGAGAUUUGAAAUUAAUUUAAGGAUAAUUAUGGCAAUGCAAUAAAAUUUUAAAGAGAUUUGCUCCCCUCCCCUCCCAUUCCCUUCCCUUCUAAAAAUUGAACCAAACACUUCAAAUUAAAAAUCUCCCCUCCCCUUCCCUCCCCUCCCCUCCAAAACUCUCGAACCAAACGGAUCCUUAGGAUUAUGGAUUAAGAGGGGUGUAUUAGUUUGUGUGUUUAAUCCAUAUCAUGCUUAACAAACACUUAAGAGUUUAGUUUGUUACUUUGGAUAAACUUUUAAGCUAGAAAAAAGUGUGUGGGGACCACUAAAAGAUGGGGGUUUUAAGUUAGACACUAAGUCUUAGAAGACUCCCAAAUUUUUUCCCCACAAUAGGAGUACCUAUUAGGUACUAGGUCUUAAAUGGGGAAGACCUCACCAUUAUGGAUGCUCUUAUAUUGUGAUUGUGUGGAUGGAUCAGACUGAAUUACAUUUUGGUCAAAAUAAAAAGAAUGUCUCGUCCAUACAAACAAGGGGAGAAUCACAACAACAAAACCAUAAUAGUAGUAAAUAAAUCAAGGAUAUACUACAAUAAAAGUUCUAGAUAAACCCAAUAGUACUAGAAAAUGAAAUGUCAAAAGCCAAUAGUUAGGUCACUGUGUUAUGAUUCUAACCAAACUUAGAAUUCAGAAGCAUAAAAUUUGAGAUGAAAUUUGACCAAAGCUUGUAUCAUUGUUGGGUCUACCCCAUCCGUUGAAGUUAACUCACAGUCAGCACCAACUGAACAAUUUUUGACUUUCUUUUCCAACUCUUGAGCAACAGCAAUGAGAGUAGGAAAUUGGGAAGGUUCCACCUUUGACAAUGCCACCUUAGAAGCCACACACAUGAAAAACUGAGGGCAAAUAUGAGACGUGAUAGCAUUACAGGCCUCAGUAUAAUUUUCCAACUCUUGUGAAAUACUAAAAUGAAAGAAGACAGGUGAUUGAGGCUUAACCAACAAAUCAUUGAUAAGUGUGAAAUGAUGCAUGUCGGUCCAAGAUAACUCAUUACACAAAUAUUGAUACACAACACCAAGUUCUUGAUCUCUUUCAACCGAAUCAUUACUUUUCUUCAUAAUAAAUCUUAUUGCAUCUUGACAUAAUCUUGAACAAGAACCAAGAUUAGCCCUAAUUGCAGUUGCUCUCUUGAAAUCAAAUGGAAAAUCCAAAUCAGCAUCAUACCCAAUUAUCUCUUUCAAUUCGCUAAUUAACUUGAUCAUAAAAGUUUUAAAGUUUCGCUCAUCAGUGAAGUUCUUCAAAAGCAUAAUAAUAAUACAACCAAAGUUGACAAGAAUAAAAGGCCAAACAAUAUCUUCAGUAGUAAUUUCAUCAGAUGGUAACCACACCACAGUAGUUUUUACACCAAUUCCGUACAAUGCUUCUUCCACGGAACUUCUGAAUCCAUGGUACACGUCGCAUAACAUAGAACCAACGUUAGUGCACAACUCUUUGUAGUCCGAUGACUGCAUUGCCUCUUCAUAUGAUUCAUAAAAGGCCAUACCUCUCAUUCUGACAUUCGGUGUAUUAAACCUAUGAACACUAAAUGUUUUGAUUUUAGUAGGGUUUAUAGAUGGAAUCAACCACUCUUCUUUCUUGGGAUAUCUUGCAUUGAAUUGGCCAAUUGUACUGCUCAGACGGUUGAAAAUGGUUUCAGGAUUGUGUUUAUUAUUCUUCAUUUUAGAUCUUGAUCACGUCAACUACAAGAAGAGUGAAAGGUGAAAAAAAGGUCUGGCUGAGUCUUGUGGAAUGUUAGAGAAGGCUGUGUAUUUAAGUAUAGUGUUUGUGUUCUUCAAAUAGACUAUUUAUUGGGAAUAUCCAGAGACAGAUUUUCAAUUGAAUUAGCCGUUUGCAUUGGAAAAGAGAUAUUUAUAAGACCAUCAAAAUAUUUUGGGAAGGUAAAAAGAUGUACUACUCCACUACGAUACAAUAACCCUAUGAAUGAUAAAUGUACGAUGAAAGAAAAUUACUCCCUCCAUUUUAAAAUCAGUGCCGCUUUAACCGAUUGCACACAUAUUAAAAAAUGAAAUAAAGUAGUUAAAUGUCAUAGCAAUUUUACCAAAUUAUCCUAAUCAACUAUUAGUUUGUUUUUCAUUAAAGAAAAAAUAUUACUUUGAAAAUAGUGUAUAACAUAAUAUUAAUUGAAGGGUACAAUUAAAAAUAAAAAGUUAUUAUUGCAUUAGAAACUGAAAGUAACAUUCAUUUUGAAACAAUUUUUUUUGCCUAAAACGACACUCAUUUUGAAACGGAGAGAGUAUUAGUUAUGAGAGAAAUAGAGACAAGGUCACGAAACUCAAAGUGAUAGAAGUAGAACCCAUCAUUUUUUGAAAUAAAUUGGAUACUCCGUCGAUACAUAUCAAUAGAGUAUCGGCGUAUAGAGGCGUAUCGGAUACGAUACGGUAGUUAUUUUGAAAUAUACGUGCUUCAUAGAAAACCAUACAAGACUUGGUAAAACUUCAUCGGGUACAUGCAUGUGUCACAUAAUCGAUGCCGAGUGUGAAUCCCUUGUGUGCUUGUAAACUCCUUUUGACUUCUUAAUAUGAUUAGAAUCACAAGGAUAAAUGUGACUUAAUUUGAUUAUGGACUUAUUUUAUUUUGAUAUUUCAAUUUCUAUUUUUAUCGUUCAAAAGCUCUUGACCAUUAGAUUGAGCGCAUGACAUAGCGCAGAAGAUACUCAGCAGGAGAUGAUCCAUCUCCCCCCGUGAAGUUUCACCAAAUAUUGCACUAUAACAGGGUGUGCCCCUCAGUGUAAAGAAUGCACAUAAAGAUCCAAAAACAUGUUAAAUUGAAGGCAAAUGCAUGUGAGACCUAACAGAUUUGCAAGCAUCGAUAUAGUAAUUCUAAUAAAAAAAUAACUAUAACAAGAAUUAAAUGAAAAUCAAAUAGUACAUAACAUGAAAUUACACGAGAAGUCGAGAAGUACAUAAUCCAAAGCUGAAAAUCACAAACUUUCUACCUAGAGAGGUUCACAAAACUAAAACCAACUGCCUAAAAUACUGAGGGUGAGGGUGAUAAAACAACUUUGCAGGCAUCAGCAAAAUCACAACCUUCUUGAUAACACCAAACAGACGAUUUAGUAAUAAUUUGGACCAGAUAAAAUGGAAUUCAAAUAUUUGCACACAUUAGAAAUUUGAGAAUCGGGAUGAUUGGAGUAGUUCAUGAGGAAUGUGAUUACAGCUUUACCAAGUUCGCGAGAACCAAGCAUAGUUGUAAUGGCAUUUGCUUUUGUAGCAUCAAAUGGUAUAUCUAGCUUGUUGCUUGGGUCAAAUCUAGCUUUAGCCUGCAGCUCACGAAUACAAGUGGGUAUAUAAUUGUUAUAAGGAGUAUAACCUAUCAUCCUUUCGUUAAAAUUAGAUUUGCAAAGAAGAAAGAUACAAUAUCCAAACAUUACAAGGAUGGAAGGCCAGUCCAGUUGAGGGAGAUCAGAAACAACUAUACUGUUUUCAUGAGCCUGGGAAGGUAAACUCACGAAACGAGGCCUGAUGCCUAUUCCAUUCAGUGCUUCCUCUACCGAGUUUCUUAAUCCAGGAACCACUGAGCAUAACAUAGAUCCAACACAAGCGCAUAACUCCUUGUUAUUCUUUGAAUCCUUGGCAGCCUUAUAAGCUACACAGAAAGCCAUAUCAGUGGUUUUGUCGCCUUUUGCAUCAGAGAUAUAGAAAUUGAUAUCAGUCAUGUUUCCCAUCACAUAGAAUUCAAACUGCAAAUUUGGCUUGAUGGGUGUGGAGGAAACUGGAGCUAUGAGACUAUUGAGGUUAGUUUCAAGAGGUGGUUGAACAAUGUUGAGGUUUAGAAUCACUGGAUUUGUUUCAUCCGUAGUCUCACUGGUGAACUUAUUCAUUUUCUUAUACAAUUGUGCUAGUUGGGGAAUGAGAAAGUUUAUCGGUUUUGUUUUAUAAGUGUAGUGAUGAUGAUUGUGAUUCUCUAAGCAGAGUAUUAUUGGGAAUGUCUGGAGACAUGAUAUUAAAUUGAAUUAGCGGUUUGCAUUGGAAACCGUAUUUUUAAGUCCAUCAAACACUAGGAAAGAAAAAAGAGGAACGUUACCGUAAACGGUGUACAUUUUUUUUUUUUAAUUACUCCCUCCAACCACUAUUAUAAGAAAGAAAAAAAAAAAAAAAAAAAAACCUUUACAUUCAUUUUGAAGACUAUCUCUAAUACCGAAAGUAAAAAAAAAAAAACAAAUUUUCACUUUAUUCAUUGACUCUGCACCUCGCUCUUACAUAGGUCCAUGAAUCAGGAUUAAAUAUAAGGAAGUUUCUUAUUGUGUACUUCCGUUACAAUUUUUAGUUAGAAUAAGUGUGUCACAUGGACUAAAAUGAAAGUAGAAAAUAGUCACUUUAGUCACUAAACCAAAAAUCAAUAUCCCCAAUUAGAAUCUCAAAUCCACUUUAGUCAAGCUCCAAUUAUUGUGCUAUUAUUAGAGUUGUUAAAAAUGGACCGGCCCAAAAGCCCAUAUUUUUUAGUCAGGCCAGGCCUAAAAAGUUAGCCCAAAAACACACUCGGGCUUUUUUGGCCCAUACAAAAAUGGGUCGGGCCGGGCUGGCCCAUUAUUACUAUAUAAUUUUAUUUUUUGUUAAAAAAAUAGUAUAUUUUUGAAAAAAAUUAUGAACUAUUUUAAAAUUUAUCAAUAAAAAAAUAUUUAAAUAAAUAAACUUAAUAAAAAUGAAUGAAUUUAGCUUAAAGUUUAUAAACUAUUAAUUUGAUUUAAUUGAAUGGAUAAUAUAGAGUUUCAUUGAUAUUCAAUGUUAAUGUAAAAAUUACUUACAUUUUUAUGUUCAUCCAAUCAUAUUUUAGGAAAAAAAAUAGUGGUGAGUGACUAAUAAAUAAAAAUUACAUAGAAAAAGUGAAUAAAUUUUAAAAGUAAAAAAUAAACGGGCCGGGCCGGACUCUAGUAUAUGCGGCCUAAUUAUAAUUGGGUCGGGUUGGCCCAUUUAUGUAGUCGGCCCUAAUUAUAAUAGUGGUGAGUGACUAAUAAAUAAAAAUUACAUAGAAAAAGUGAAUAAAUUUUAAAAGUAAAAAAUAAACGGGUCGGGCUGGCCCACAUGGCCCACACAGGCCGGGCCGGGCUCUAGAAUAUGCGGCCUAAUUAUAAUUGGGUCGGGUUGGCCCAUUUAUGUAGUCGGCCCUCUUGGGCCUGGGUCGGGCCAACCCAUUUGACACCUCUAGCUAUUAUUCACAAUUGAGUUUUUAUUGUUUCCGGACUUAUGCCAGACAAAUUAAAUCAUUUUAAACUAGUACUCCCUCCGUUACUAAAAUGAUGCAUUUGGUCUAUAUCUUAGACAAGAUACAUCAAUUAUUUCAUGAACUUGGGACAAGAUACAUCAAUUACUCAAUGAGCAUGGGAAGCAUCAAUUAACUUGGGUCAAUCCUUUUACUCAAUAAAGGAGGUAAAAUGUUGAACCAAAAAGUGCCAUUAAUCUCAUGUCCCAUAGCUGCAAGGCUGCCUGCAGAACAAUUCCCUUUGCGAAAAAUAUGAGAGCAAAUAACCUUCAAACCUUGAUGAGUGCAGUUAUACCAACAGUUUCUAAGACGUUACCGAUACCCCGGAUGUUCCAAAAAAUUAUAUUCAUUUAAAGGGUGAACGAGGACCCUGAGAACGGGUUAUGUAUAGUGCCUUCUGUAAAUUCUUUUUUUUCUUUGACUUGGAAACAACGUCUAUAAAAGGUUUAUCCGUAGCUGCUGCCGUUGAUAACCAAGCUUGCAUAAAAUUUAUGUCCUUCUGUAAAACCGGAUCUAUCUGAGCAUCAGCCGGAGCUACAAUACUACUUAUAUCUGGAAUUUUAUUUUUUAGAGGAGAUAAAAUAUGUGAAUGGUGAUCCUCUGAGUCAGUAGGAAUUCUGUUAUGGGAAAUAUUCUCUAGUUGCAUGCUUAAAUUAUUAUUCUGAAUAAUCGGGCUAAGAGAAGUAGUGAUUACCAAAGGUGUCGGUAUGGCUGCAGGAAUAACAUAUGUGCUUUCAUGGUUGUUAAUAUCUUGUGUUUCAACUGGUAUUGCUUCUGAAUGAUCAACAGUGCUCUCCCUUUGGUGCUGGUUCGGUAAAUCAAGUUGAGGAGCAUAUUGCACUGGCUCAACAUCUGUUGUCUUUUGUACGUGAGCAGCUGAAUUAUGGUGUGGUUCAGCUUCAAUUUCCUCUUCAAAUCGUACCUGUUCGGGAAUAGUUAUGCCACCAAAAGCUAGUGAGGAGCUGACAGUUGAGUUGUUUUGUGUUUCAGUUUCAAAUUCCUCUUCAACUCGUGCCGGUUCUGGAAUAGUAGUGGUGACAAAGGCUAGUGAGGAGCCAAUGCCAGUUGGAUUUUCCUUUAAAGGAACCCACAUAGUCUUUGUUAUAAGAACCUGCUUGUUCCCUUUAUCAAUUCGUUCCUUAGGGGCAUAUGUUUCCUGCCUAGGGUAUAGCUGUCUGCAGACCGUGACGUCGUGACCAAUAUUCUAACAAUGAGAACAGAAAUCAGGCAACCAUUCAUAGGCCACCGCAACCGUGAAGGCAAACCCUUCCUUUUCAACAACAAUUUCAUGAAAUAACUUACGGGAGAAAUCCAUAUCAACAAGAAUUCUUGCAUAAUGUCCAAACAAACGCUUUGUCGUCGCGUUGUCUAUCACAAGAGGUGUCCCCAACAUUCCUGCAAUCUCUCGAAGAGUCCGUUCCAUCCAGUACUCCUGAGGUAGUUCGAGCAAGCGAAUCCACACGAGCAUGUGAAUUACGAUGAGUGUGCAUAUUGAAGUCUUUGGACCACUCAAACAGCUGAAGGAUACCCGGUUUCAAGUUUAUGGUGCCUGCUGUCCACACAGUACGCAUAUCCAUCUCUGAAGCAAAGAAAAAUUCAUAAAACCCUCUUCCUAAAGACAUCAUGCGCCAGGCACCUGCUGUCUUCCAUAGCUUCUGCAAUCGCGAUUCAAUUUCCCUUGUAGAAAAUGGCUUGUCCCCCUUGUUCAACACAAGUCUGCCCCUCAAAUUUGACUCACAAAAAUCCGUUCCUCGGUCGUAAAUUUCCUGGGUGAUUUUAACACUGAGUGUUUCUCCACGUAUUUUUGGCUAAGGCAAAUUAUCAUUGGAAGCUGUCCUAGUUGACCCUGUCGGAGCCUGAGCAAACGAAACCACUUGCUGAGUGGAAGGCGGUGGUGGCGUGACAGCCCUUGCAACCUUGGGAGCGGCUGCAAGAGCAGACAUCUCAGCCUGCCGGUCAAACAUGGCAGCCGAGAUCGUGAAAAAAAGAUGGUAGAAAUUGAAAGCUGAUCCAAAAGAAAGCUAAUUGAAUUGACGGUGGAGGAAGCUUUCACGUAACAAAGAAAUUCACACCGUGAUCCCAAUACAAUUUGUUUGCAAAAGGAAAAGAUUGGUGUUGUUGCUAGCUUACGUAAGCCAAUUGGAUUGGUGUUGAAUUGUUGUAAAAAACUGAAAUGGUUUCUUUAGAGCAAUCAACAACUGGCACAAUCAGUAGACAAGCAAUUGGAUAAUUGAAUUAAGCAAGCUGUAACGGUGAAUAAUGGAGGGGCAGCGCUCAUGCUAGGCAAACCCUAGCAAAGCGUGAAACAUCAUUUUUCUCACAGAACUGAGACUCUUAAUAAUCAAAAAAUAACAAAAAAAAUUCACCAUUCAACUAAAUCACAGCAUUCUAUAUUUUAAGAAUUAACUACAAAAAUUUGGUUGAAUGUAUAAACAAAAAUAACACUAUCACUAUAUACAAAUCAAAUUUAUUCAAAAAUCUAAAUUUUGAUCAAACUAUCAAUAUUUUGAUUUAUGGACAAAAUAGUGUCACGACCAAUCUUAAUAACACAAUGCUAUGCCUGCAACUAAUCUUAAUAACAAUGCUAUGCAUGCAACCAAAUCUAUGAAUCAAUGAUCAUUGAAAAGCUUGAAUAGAAAAUAGAUUAUAAAAAAUAGAAAGUAGGCAUUUUGAAUUAAAACGUAUUUAUUUAAGUUUGACAAUGUAUACGAUCUGAGUACAUUUUUGUAGAGUCUCACAUAACUUAAACACUAUUGAUCUAUUAUUGUUGCAACUCUUCAAAGCUUGAAUCGUUUUUUGUAUACACUGCACGAGCACCUACAAAGCAAAAACAAAUAUAUAUUAAUAUUUAGAUUUGCUAAAAAGAAUAUACAAUAUAUCUUUAAAAAAAAAAUAUAUACAAUAUAUAAAAGAUGAAAAGAGAGUAAAUCUAAAUAUAUAUAAAAGGAAAAAUAUAUAAUAUUUAUAUAUAUUUGCUAAAAACAGACAAAAAAAAGAUGAAGAGAAAGUAAAUCUAGACACAAUUGUUGAUGGUAAGAUCAUAGUAAUGUUCCUGUCAAAAUAAAAAUAAAAAUCAGAGUAAUGUUUUUUUUUUUUUGUUUUUACCGGCGCCUAUGCAUUUUUUAUUCACACAAUCUAUAAAGCAUUCUUUAUAUUUGUGUGCUAUGCGUCGAAGACUUCGACACGACAUGGUACACUUUAUUUCACAAAAUACUCUUUUGACUCCUUUGAGUUCAGUUGGCCCAUGUUCUUGAUCUUGAGAUGGAGAGUUGCAUUCAACAUGUGUUACAAUUAACAUAAUCAUUAACAUCAUCACAAUAGC